Molecule: long non-coding RNA, 88097 nt
Filed under: Vitis vinifera (wine grape)
Lineage: Eukaryota; Viridiplantae; Streptophyta; Magnoliopsida; Vitales; Vitaceae
Description: long non-coding RNA (VVIN_LNC004195)
Source: RNAcentral
CAUUGUAUCCUACAUAAAAAUCAACUAGGUUCUUACAUUGUAAAAGGUUCAACCCAAACACUAACCUAAGACCCAAGACUUAUACAACACAUACACAUCAAAAGCAUAGAACCCAUCAAAACACAUUUAAGAUUGAGGUUUAAGCCUUUUAUAAAUAUAUGCCAAAAAUCUAGAAAGGCCCAAACUCCAUUAGAAGCCAUUGAAUACAUGAGGCUUAAGCCUCAACAACCUUGAGGUUGUAUGCCUCAAUAGAGUGUAGUUUACCAUUAGUUACCUUAUACUAAGGCCCUAGCCUUAAUGUUAAUUUAUAACAUCCUCAAUGAGGUGAGCCUCACAACAUGAAACUCAAUAUGUUUCUAAAACAUUGUAUGAACUAAUAAAAAUUCUAGAAUUUAGCACCUUCCUUGGCCAAAACAUUGUACUAACAAAAAAUUCUAGUUUUUAAACUAAUGUCUUUAGCCAGACUAAGGAUUUCAACCAAGGGGGAAAAACCAAAAACAAAAAAAGGCCCUACCACAACUCACAAGUAAUGGGCAAUGGAGGAAAGAUCUUUUUUUCUUUUUUUUUUUUCUUUUUUGAGGCAAGUAGAGGAAAAGAUAUCAACUAUUGUUCACUACAAAUAAAUGAUUGGGAGUUAGGUGAGGUGGAAGGGUUACUUAGAAGAUUGAAAGGGCAUGUGAUCAAUGGAGUGGAGGAUGUUACAGUUUGGUGGUUGUCGAAGGGGGGCACCUUUUCUGUCAAAUCUUUCUACUCCUCCUUAGCAGGUUGUUAUCCGAAAAGUUUCCCCACUAGCUUGGUGUGAAAUCCUUGGGUGUCAAUUAAAAUCAACUUCUUUGCUUGGGAAGCAAUUUGGGAAAAAAUUCUAACUCUGGAUCAACUAAGAAGGAGGGGUUGGAGUCUUCCAAAUAGAUGUUAUUUGUGUAAGGGUAAAGAGAAGUCAGCAAACCAUAUUCUCCUUCAUUGUCCUAAGGCAAGCAUGUUGUAGCACCUUAUUUUGGCUAUAUUUAAUGUUCAGUAGGUGAUGUCGUUCUCGAUCAAGGGUACCCUCAUUAGUUGGUGUGGUGCCUUUAUGAAGGCUUGGAAAGCUAAGCCUUUGUGUCUAUUUUAGACCUUAUGGAAGGAGAGAAAUUGAAGAGCUUUUGAAGAUUCUAAACUAAAAGACCACGUGAUUUUACGCUCCUUCAUGUACAUGUUUUUAGAGUGGGUUAGGGUACAUGUAGAGUUUACUUCUUUGUCCCUUUUACAUUUCAUAGAUUGGUUGGGCUGUAAGUGAAGUGAGGGUGUUGUUUUUUUACUAUCCCUCCUUUUUUUUGGCCUUGUAUAUAUUGUGUAUACUUUAGGCACUUUUAAUACAAUUGCUUUACUUAUAAAAAAAAAACUAGUUGUUCACUGGCCAUGCAUAGGACACAUUGCUUGAUGACUAUGUAAGUUCUUCAAACUUGAAGGAUACAGUUGGCAACAACCUUCCUUUAUGCAAUUGCCCAUGCUAAAGUUUUGACUUUUUAAGGGCCUUUCUUUCUAAUAAAUUUAGUUAGAUGGAAAAUGGUAAUGUUAUUGUUUCUAGCAAACUCAAAGAAAGGAAUUAGAAGAAGAGGGGAAAACAAAAGAAAAACCUUCUCUAGAGUCUAACAACAUCUAUUGGAAAUUAGAGAUAGUGGACAUUCUCCAACGAAUGAGCAAGAGAAGAUAGAUUCCUUAAUUUUUUUGUUUUUGAUAUUUAUGGUGAGGUUGAUCAAAGGAGAUGAAAAGGAUAAGAAAAGAGUGAAAUCGCCUAACUGAAAUUUAUAAAAUUAAAGAAAAGACAUACCAAGAGGUUGCUUCCACACCAAAGAUCCUCCUAAGAAUAAAUUUUUUAGUCAUCAUGUAAUGAACCUAACUAGGGGAGAAAAGUGAAGCUAGCAUUAAGACAUGACUUUUCAAGUACGGAUGAGAAGCCCUCACAACAAAACAUAUUUACAUCAUAGCACCAUAGAGAACUUUCUCCUGAAGAACCCCAAAGACAAUUACUAUAGGAGCUUUAAUUCAUAUAUAAACCCCAACAAAACCUAUACCCCAUGAUCUUAGGCUUACACAUAAUGUACCAAUAAAAGGCAGAUCUUUCCAUGGUUGCCUUAAUAUUGGGCUCACACACAAUGUACCAAAGGAAGCUCCUCCACAACUUCUGAACCCUAAAAGUCAUGCUAUGAUUAAUACUUAAGAUGGAAAAAAAAACAACAAAGAUGUAGGAUAGACAAUUUUCUUUCUUUUAUUUUUUGAAUGAGAAACAAAAUAAGGUAGACAAGAUUAAGAGUGAUCCAACUCCCAUACAAAAAAAAAAAUGGUUUCCUUCCAACUGUCAAGCUGUUUCAACACGUUCUUCAUCAAUAGAUCCUAAAAUUCUUGAGAUUUCUUAAAGAUAGAGAGGAAUUUUGUUGCUAAGAAGGAGAGGAAACAAAUAGAGUGCAUAUAUGUCUAUAAACUAUUUAUUUUUAAUUUACCUAUUAAAAAAAAAAUAUCUAUCCUACAUCUAGUGGCUACGAGGGAGAGGAGAAACAAAGUGCAAAACUACUCUUUUUAGGCAAUCAUAAAUAUUACAACAUAAGCAAAAAUACUUCUUGCUUAGUUUUUUUUUUUUGAUAAGUAAAGGAUAUGCAUUAAAAAGGCAAAACGCCACAAAGCAUACAAGGAGUAUACAAGGCGGCUAAGGCCUCAAAAAACAAAGACAAAAAGAAUCACCUCCCUUUAGGUGGAUGCUAUCCACUCCAGGAAGCCUAUAAGGGAGAACGCCUCCUCACCUACAUACAAUUUGGUCCAACUCCACAAAUUACAGAGAAAAAAAUUCUUUAACUUCUGAAUGUUCAACACACCCCCCCUAAAGGCUAAUCUAUUUCUCUCCUUUCAUACUGUCCAAAAAAUACACAACGGAAUGGCGUCCCAAAUCUUUUUCCUUUUCUUCCCCACAAACGAGCCCCUCCAGCUAGCUAAGACCUCCUUUACAGUUUCUGGAAAAACCCAUUUCACAUCAACUAAACCAAAAACAAUAUCCCACAAAGCUCUAACCACUGUACAAUGUAUAAGGAUAUGAUUUACACUUUCUUCUUCACAUCCACACAGGAAGCAACAAUUUGGAAGUUAAACCCCUCUUCUUUGAAGUCUAUCCAACGUAAGCACCUUCCCCUACGUCGCCUCCCACGCGAAGAAUGCAACUUUAGUUGGCACCCUUGCCACCCAAAUGCUUCUUGAAGGAAAAUCUGUGUCAUUAGACUUAGUCAACAAUCUAUAAGCUUCCUUGACCCUGAACUGACCACUUCUUCCUUGCCUCCACAGGACUGAAUCUUCCUCCAAAAAGGGCUUAUGACCCCUCAACAUAUAGAGAAAUUCCCCAACUGUAUCCAACUCCCAAUCAUUGAAAUCCCUCAGAAAAUUUAGGUUCCAAUUUCCUUAACCCGAACUUUGAUCCCACAUUUCCUCAACCGUUAAGUUCCUUUGAGCAGCCAUGCCAAAGAGAUGAGGAAAACAGUGGGACAGCGCUGAAUCAGAACACCACACAUCUGUCCAAAAUCUAAUCGUAUUGCCUUUCCCUUACCACCAAAACUUCUUUUUAAGUUCCUGUGCAUGUCUUUAUAUGUCAUCUUCAAAGUUCCAAAUUUUUAGGUUCAUCAUCAUUCCCUUACCACCAAAAAUGAAAUAAAAAAAAAACUAAUAUAUUAAGCAAAAAAAAAUAUUCAAUAAUUACCAUAAUUUUCAUUAUCAAGAUUCAAACCAUUCAAAUGAAAAUUCUUCAAUAUUCAUUGUAAAAAUAAACUUCCUUGACCUCUAUUAUAGAAUCUAACAACAAGAAUACAACUUUUCAUGUAAGAUUAUUUUACCUAUUUCUCCUUUUUAAGUUCAAUUUUUAAUCUUUUAGUCUAAUUUGAGGUAAAUCCACAAACAAAUCAAAUUGCAACACAUCCAAUAUUAGACUUGAACAACCUUUAAUACAGGUUGAGUGCUUGAUGGUUGGCCAAUAGUCAUCCAAGGAAUUUUGGACACAUUCUUUCUCAACCCCUGAGGGAAGGACAUUUCUAGUAAACUUUUGGCCAAAGGAUAAUAAGUCAUCUAGUAAUUUCUUAUAGAGGCACUGAGAGAAAAAUGAAGAUCUUACUAAACAUCAUAGAGUUUACUUCCAAGGAUAUCUUAAAUCAAAGUCUGAAAAAUAAUCUAAAGGUAAUAAUUUUCUAAGAACUGAAAAAUAAUAAAGAACUAUUCUCAAAACCUCAAACCUAGGAAACCAAAAACAUGAAAGAAAGUUCAGAGAAUUUAUUUUUUUUUCUUUUCUUUUCUUUUUUGUUUGUUUGUUUGUUUGUUGAUAGGUAAGUGAAACAUGUAUUAAAGACAAAAGAAAGUAUAUAUAAUGCAUACAAAGCAACCAAAAGACCAAAAAGUUUUUUUUAUUAUUUUUAUAACUGAGGAACCUUCCAUGGCCAAGCUCUUAGGACUCUCCAUAGGGGACCCAAACCUUAGGGUGCUGACCGCCCCGCAACAACCAACACCAGGUAAAUUCAAGGUAUUAUCAGUGGUAGGAUUCGAACCAGGACCAUUUACUACUUAUUAGGACAAAAGAAAGUAUAUAUAAUGCAUACAAAGCAACCAAAAGACCAAAAAGUUAUGGUGAAGCUCUUAGGACUCUCCAUAGGGACCCAAACCUCAAGGUGUUGACCGCCCUGCAACAACCAGCACCAGGUAAAUUCAAGGUAUCAUCAGUGGUAGGAUUCGAACUAGGACCAUGUGCCCCUUAUUGGGACCACACCUCCUAAUGUUCGCAACCAAAAGACCAAAAAGUGAGGCACGAAGACACAAAAACCAGCAACAAUGCCCUACAAAGAGCUUAACCAGUCCACAAAUUCUAACAAUGACAAAGAACCAUUCCCAAUAUAUAGAAUAACUCAAUCCCAAAAAAGGUUCAAGAAAGAAAUUUUUAAUUGUUUGGCCCAAGCUUUCACAAUUAUGGAGGUUCUCCUAUUUCUCUCUCUUUAGAUGGUCCAAAAAACGCAAAAUGAAGCAACUUUCCUAAACACCUUUAUUUCUCUUNNNNNNNNNNNNNNNNNNNNNNNNNNNNNNNNNNNNNNNNNNNNNNNNNNNNNNNNNNNNNNNNNNNNNNNNNNNNNNNNNNNNNNNNNNNNNNNNNNNNCUUUAUUCUCUUUUUUCCAAUAAAAGAACCAUAUCAACUCAAGAGAAACCCCCUAACUGAAGAACACAUCACUCAUUGUACAUCAAACAAAGCAAAAAUCAACUACCACAAAUUGUGUUUGUUCGUGCAAUGAAAGAGAAUAUGAUCACCUGUUCCUUCUUCUUCUUUGCACAUGUAGCAUCUAUUAGGAAUCCCCCAACCCUUCCUUCUAAGUUGAUCCAUAUUCAAAAUCCUGACCCAAGUUGAGACCCAAGAGUUCCAUAUUAUGUCAUAAGAGAAUGGUUCCCCUCUCCUAUUUGCUAAGGAGAAGUAGAAAGACUUAACUAAGAAGCUUCCAUUCUUUGAGCCCAACCACACUAUAAUAACCUCAAAGCCCAAACUAGUGGAGUGGUCAUACAAUCUCCCAAAAAAUACAUCUCCUCGAGCUCCUAACCAUGUAACUAUCUAACAAACCUAGGGCCCCUAGCUACCACCACCCUGACAUCAACCACUUAAGCAUCUUUUAAAGAGGCUAUAGAAUAAAGAUCUAGAAAUGAUUCCCUCAAAGGUGUAUCUCCACACCACUUGUCUAUCCAGAACUUCAUCUUGUUGUCGAAGCCAACUCUGAGACUUGUUUUAUUCGUAAGUACCUCUCAUCCACCUCAAAUUGUUUUCCACACCCCCACUUCAUACCCUUCUCUCACUUCUUUAGUGCAUCACCCCCCUUCUUCCUACUUUUACUUUCCUACAAUAACCCGUUUCCAAAGAGAGUUUCCUUUCACACACAAAUCUCUAGGACUAUUUUCCCAAAAGAGCUUUAUUAAGGAUGCCCAAUCACCCCACUCUCCUAUCAUGUCAAAUAGCCUCAAAGAAUCCUAUUACCUCAUUACCAAGGUAAAAAAUAUUGAUAUCCAUGGACAUAUUUGUGGAUCAAAUGUAUAGAAAUCUCAAUGGACAUAUCAAUACAAAUGUAAAUUUCGAUAAAAUUAUAAAAAUUAAAAAAAAAAUGAAAUUUUGGAUGGAACUCUAGAGAUCAUAAAACAAUUAAUAAUGUACAUACUAAAUAAGUCCUUUUCUUUUAUAAGAAAAUAAUAUAUGUACAAUAAAAUUUAAGACAUUGGUCAAUAAGAAAUGUCCUUGUGAGUUGGCAUGAAUCCUUUGUUAGGAAGAAGAGGAAAAAAGUUUGGAAGGCAACUCCUUGUACUUAAUUCAGGCCAUUUGAAAAGAGAGGAAUGAGAGAAUGAUUGAAAAUACUGAAAUAAAAUGGAUCAAGAAAUCAAACAAUUCUUUAUGUAUGAUUUUGGAGUUGCUUAAGAGUGUAUAUAAAAGAUUAUACAAUACUGGACUUCAUUGAUUGACUAAGCUCUAAGUAGGGUGAGGGAGUUGUUUUUUGUGUCCCUCCUUGUUUUUUUUAGCCUUUUAGCACCUUUGUACAUGCCAUAUAUGCUUUUGCAUGCCCUUUGGUUAGAUAUUUUUAAUAUAUUUGAUUUUUUCCUAUAAAAACAAUCACCUAAUAUUCAUGUAACUUUCCACUAAAACUAUCUUAAAUUUCUCUCAAUAUACUUACAUUCAUUUAUUUGAAAAAAAAUCUAAAAACCUUCAAAAGAAAUUAUUAAUUUUACUAUAAUUUUAAUAAGAUUUUACAUCAAAUAUUUUUAUUAGAAAAUGUUUUUAAAAAUUUAUCUAUAAUUUUUUCAUCAAAUUAAUUUUCAAUAUUAGAACAUGUUUUUAAAAAUCUAUUUACAAUUUUUUCAUCAAAUUAAUUUUCUCAUUUAAUAAUGAGACUAAUCACGGAAUGCCCCUCCCAUCUUCCCCUUUUAUCUACUCCCUACCUGGAUGGAGAUUAUAUAUUAGAAACCAAGGUAAGAUAGAGGAUAGGAUUUCAAUGAUAGCCCACAACAAGUUCUUGAUGAUAUGCCACACCUAUUUUGAAAGUUAACAUCCAAAAGUAUGAUAUUCAUUUUGGGCUUUGGAGCUAAAGAGUUAGUAGGCGUUUUCUAUUUUUCCCCAAAGCAAGUGUAUUAGCAUUAUUCAUUUUUUUUUUUUUUUUUUGAUAGAUACAACAAAGGAGUAUGUAUUAAAAGGAAACACCCAAACAGCAUCCCAAAGUAUACAGGGAGUAUACAGUGGCCACCCAAACUGGGAAUAUGUAUUAGCAUUAUGAGCUCCAAAUAUUGAGAAAGUCAAUCUCUGUAUACCUUACUUGUACUUGGGGGCAUCUUUUUUGUAUCUAAUAAGCUGGCUAUCAUCAUCAAUAAUAAUAAUAAAGGCUUAUAAUAAUAAUAACAAACAAUAAAGGUCUAGAAUCCACUUGUCCAAAGAUCUUAGAAGAAAUAAUAACAAUGCUGAAGCAUACUUCAGGGAACUAAAAGGAAACCCAUUCAUGGUGUAGAGUUUAUUAUCUGUGGGUUCUAGGCCCAACAAACAAAUAAACAAUCAGAACAGAACAAAGUGUUUCACCCAAAAACAACAAGGGAACACUAGUUAGUUCACCACUACAGAGCUGAGAAAGGAGAAAGGAGAAAGGAACCAUACUAGAUACAUCCUUUUAUCAGAGUAUCUUUUCUAGGCAAAUGAAGUACACAUUUUGCAUCUAAUAGCUUGGAGUUUGCAAGUGGCAAGCAAGCAUUGGCUCAUGUAUAACUGAUGGAACAUCUCUAAGAUGUCAGGUAAAAUUAUCAUUAUGCCUAUUGGAUGCAACAUCUAAAUUACUAGGUCUCCUAAAGAAAAACCAAAUAUGUAACCAAAAACUUAUCAAUAAGCAAACAAUUCAUAUUGCAAGUAUCACAGUAGAAAAGUGAACACUAAACACAGAAAUCAGGUGAUCAAUACAUCAACCAGACAAUAAACAAAUAAACCACAUACCUAAACUUCUACUGCUGUUGCGGAGGAUUUGGCGGAGGUGGCAUGCCGGGACGAGGUGGUCCAAAAACAGGGACACCACUGCCUGGUGGAGGUGGCAUUCCAGGACGAGGCGGUGGUGGGGCCUGCAUUCCAGGCCGAGGUGGAGGUGGCGGACCUCUCAUCAUCUGAGGGGGCGGCACCAUUGGCCGGCCCCCAUACUGCGGUGGGGGAACCUGGAAGGGAGGCUGCGGUGCUCCUCCGGGCCUAGCAGCGAACUGAGCAGGCACGGGAGGCGGUGGGCCACGUGCAAUCUGGGGAGGUGCCUGCCCGGGGUAUCCAGGCAUCUGUCCGGGAGGCCGAAUUACCGGCGCGGCCGGGUAAGUCAUGGGCGGUGCAGAUAGCUGGGGCACCGGCGGGCGCGAGAUCUGAGGCUGCAUCAUGCCUGGCGCAGGGCCACCAACUCCGCGAACGGGUCCAGCGAGGCCAGGCUGAGCCUGAAUGAGGGGAGCGGUGGGGAUUCCACGACCGGCAGCGCGGCCGAUGCCAGGACCGGCCAUGGCAGCGGCGCCGACGGCUUUGGCGCGGGACUCUUCGGGAGGGGGCGGACCCUCUACGGUCAUGGAAAUGACCUCUUCUCCUCUGAGGAGAACAAGGCCUAGGGUUCGUCGUUCUUCGCGUUCUUCGUUCUUUUUACCCUUAGCAGGAGGCAAUUUUCUGAACUCUUCGCAGUCGCCCAGGACGAGGUUCAUGUGGCGGUCGAAUGCCAUGAACUUUCCGACGAGUUGACGGCCAUCCUGGAUGGUCACUCGCAUUCUGUAGUUGAUGUAUUGAAGCAUCUUUGAACUUUUAGACAUCGACAUCUUUCUUGGAUUUGGGUGGUGUACGGGUGGAACUGGCUAGGGUUUUGGGGGUUUUGGGGUUUUUAGGGUUUUGGAAGAGUGAGAGAGUGGAGACUGUAGUGGUUCCAAAAAAGAGGUUUUGGUGGGAGAGUCGCAAGUUCUUACAAGACUAGCCUCCUAGGGUCUCACAAGACUAGUUUAGCCACAAACCAAACCCUUCCCUCGCUUGGUUUGUUUAGUUUUAUACAGUACCAAAUGUUCACGUGCAAUGCACGUGAGGUAAUACGAAAGAAAAGUCCAAUAAAAAAAUAAAUUUAUAAAUUUAUUUUUUUAAAUCCUUCUAUAAAAUUAAGAAGAGAUUUAGAAUCAAAUAAUUGAAUUAGAACCAAAAAUAAAAAAUAAAAAAUGGUUAUGAUGGAAAAUAAAUAAGGUUACACGUUUCCAUACCAAAAUUUUAGAUAGUAAAAUUCUUUUUAAAAUCAAUUUUUCUAAAUUAAAGAAAAUAAACAUUAUCUUAAAGGUAUGUACCAAAUUUUAUUUAAACAUAUUAUAUGUUUCUUUUAGAUUAAAUUUGUGAGAUUUUUUAAGUUAAUCAUUCUAUAUAUAAUUUAAAUGAUUUUUUUUCUUAACAGCUAUAAUACUUAGGAAUUCAUUAUUAUUAUCUUCGUAUUUCUCUUGCCAAGUCAACAAUUAACAUAAUCAACUUGUUGACACUCGUUCUUAAGUAUGGGUUUGAUUCAAAUUCAUUGCAACAUGAUAUAACUUUCACUUGUCCCAAAUUUAUGAAAAGUAGAUGAAUUUAAAAAAUAAAUAAUAAUAAUAAUAAUAACAAUACAAACUAAAUUACUUAUCCAAACAUACUUUUCAUUUGCAUAUUAGAAAUGACAAUAGGUCAGGAUGGUUUACCUUCACAUCCCAACCUUAUCCCAUUUAUUUAUAUAUAUAUUCUUAUCCAAACAGAAAAAAAAAAAAUGGGAUGAGGUGAAGGCAAGUUUUUAAAAAAAAUUUAGUUUAUUAAAAGGAAAUAUAAUUUAUAAAUAAAAAUAUAUUAUAAAUUAUUUAUAAUUAAUUUUAUGAAAAGAAGUUGAAAAACAAAAAAAUCCAACUAAAUUUUUUUAAUAUUUAAAUUAUAUAUAGGAACAAGGCGAGACAAAGUCAUACUUAAACCCAUCUUGAAUUUAUCUGAAGUUUUUAAAAACUUUCCAAACUGGUUUGAACUCAUUUAUUUUUAUCCAAAACCAUUUCCAUUAAAAGCGAAACAAGUUGGGUACUAAAAAAAACAUCACAUUGUCAUCCCUAUUGUGUUUUUGGAAUAUAAUACCAAGCCAUAAUACAAAGAAAUCAUGAGCAAAUAAAAAGAGAAAUUUCUUAUUAAGAAACAAAAACUAUUUUUUGAUCUCCCAAAAAUGCUUGGUAUUCCAUUUUUAAAUUGUUAAAUAUAGCUGAUUAAAAUUUCUCUAAGAAGAUUGGUUGGUAUUUAAAAAAAUAAAAUAAACAAAGAUUAUGAGAAAAUUCUACUAAUCCCAAAACGGGGAUUCAACUUAACUAAAAAAAAAACAAAAAAAAACCCAAAAAACAAAUUUCAAUUAAAAUAAUAACUUUAUUUUUCUUAUUAUAAAAUUUAAGUUGUGAAUAUCGGUCAAAAAUAAAAUUUAAAAGAAACAAAAUAAGACAAAUUAAAAGUAUUUGUAGAAAUACUAAAUUUAUGUCAUAAGUAAGAAUCUUCUAUUCCUAUAGUCAUUACAUUAUAAAAUAAAAAUCGUCUCCAAUUAUUAUAAAUAUUGGAUUAUAAAAUAAAGAACUGUAAUCUCCUAUUCCUAAAAACAUUAGACUGUAAAAUAAAGAAAUACAUUUCAUUUUAGGAUACUAAUUUAGGGCCGUUUUCCAUAUUUUCUAAAACUUGUUUUUAAAAACUGUUUUUUAUUCUUUAAUUUAAAAACAGUUUUUAAAAACAAGUGUUAGAAAAUAUGGUCAAAUGGUUCAAAUUUUUCUUUUGUUUUUAAAAACUAGUGAAAACAACUCUUAUUUGUUCUCUAUUUCACUUUAUUUUUAAAAAUUGUUUCUAGAGAACAACAAUUAAACAAUAUUAAAAAAAUUUAAAAACAAUUUUGUGUUUUUUAAAACAGAAAACUGUUUUUAAAUUACACGGCCAAACAAGCUCUUAUAUUAAAAAAAAAUCAAAGAUUUUAUUCCUUAAAAAAUUCCAAUCAUUCUAAAAUUAAUAUUCGAUUAAACUAAAAAUUAGGAAAAAAACAUAUUCAAAAAACACGUACCCAAAUUUCAAUUGAAACAACUAGCUUCAUUUUUUUAUUAAAAGAUUUAAGUUGCGAAUACUUGUCUAAAAAUAAUAAAAAUUACAAGCAUAAUUAGACAAGUUAAAAGUAUUUUCAAAUAUACUAAAUUUAUAAAAUAAAUAGCAACUUCAAUUCCAAUGUAAAAUAAAGAAUUAGAAUUCAUUAAAAAUAAAUGUAUACUUGAAUACUAAACUUGAUUACCUCUCAAAUUUAUCGACAACCUUAAAUUUCAAUCUUCUCCCAACUCACGUUCACCAAACUCCUCGGAGAAUUUGACUAUUGUUCUAAAAAGCUCAAAAUCAUAGAAAUAGAAUUUAAUAAAGUAAUCAUAUUAUACUCAAUGUAUAAGUAACACAAAUAUUUAAGCAAAAUCGCUAAACAAUAACUCAUCAAAUAAUACUUCACUAAAAUUGGGAGUGUCAAUUUAUAAAAACCUCUUAAUUCUCUUCAAAGAAAAAAAAAUUAUGAGAAAUUUGAAAAGUUUUCAAACUUUUAGAGACGAAAAGUUAAACAACCCUCGAAAGAAAUUUGAGAAGUGAAGGAGUCGUUUUUAAUUUUUAAUUAGAUGAUAUAUUAAUUAUAGACAUUUUAUAAUGUUAUAGGGUGAAUUUAAAAAGAAUAAAAUUUUAAUGUAAUUGAAAUUAAUAGAUUGUGGUAAUAGAAUAAAUUUUAUAACAUUAAAUAUAAAUAGGUUGUAAACAAAAUUCCUUUUUCAAUUGUAAUUUGCAUUAAAAUAAACAAAGAUUAUGAGAAAUUUUUAGUUAUCUCAAAAUGAAAGAUGAAAAAAGGAAAAAGGAAAAACAAUAUAUACAAUAAAUAAAAAUGCAAUGAAUUAGGAUCAUGGAAAAUGCUAAAAUCUAAUAACGCAAAUGAUAAGUAACACAAGGGACGUAGCCCUAAUAAAUUAGAACACAAACAAUUGAUAUGUAUAGAUACCAUAAAUGUGAAAAAUUACUCAAAUAACAUAGGAUAAGCCAUUGUAGUCAAACAUUUUGUUUGUCUCCCUACAAUUUAUCAACUAUCAAAACGAAAAGACCAAAUCACAAAGAGAAACAAAAAGUGGGCUACUCACAAAAAUACGAGAGAAGAACAAUAAACGAUGGAAUGAAGAGAACAAAAUAAUAAUAAUAAUAAUAAUAAUAAUAAUAAAAGGUUAUGUGGACAUUGAAAAAAUGGGCCUUAGGCCCAUCCUCAAAGUCAAAGAGUAUUAUGGGUUUUAAAGAGAUUAACAUGUAUAAUGUUAAUAGAUAUUAAUAGGUUAUGAAAAUAGAAUAAAUUUUGUAAUGUUAAAUAUUAAUAGGUUGUAAUAAAUAAAUUGAUGGGGGGUAUUUUUGGAAUUAAAAGGUAAGUUGUCGAACAUGCAAAGGUUAUAAUAAAUAAAUUGAUGAAAGGUAUUUUUGGAAUUAGAAAAAAAAUAAGUUAUCAGACAUUUUUGGAUUGAAAAAAUAGAAAAGCACCUCACACUUUUAUUAGUAGUAUAGGUUUCUUUUUUAGUUUUAUGAUGGGACUUCAAUUCAUAUAAAAAAUAAUACUUGUGCCAAAAAAUUAAAAUACUUUUCACUCAAAAAAAAAAAAAAAAAGAAAGUAAGUUGGAAAUGGUAAAUAUAACCUCAAAGAAAGCAAAAUAUCCCUUAUAUUAUUUCAUAAAAACAAUAUUUUUAACAUGGAUAGAUAUAAAAAUUUAAUGAAAAGUAUUUUUAACGGGAAGAAAAAAAAAAUCAUCUUUCUAGUUUUGAAAAAUUUUAACUUUUGUGAUCAAAUAUCCCUUCAAAAAAUGGUAUAAGAUGUGACAUGGAGAUAAUUGGUAUAAUGGUUUAGCAAAAUUCUGAUAUUUAAAUGUGGUCAUUCUAUUUUGUAAAUCCUUCGAAGAGUGUGCAAUAUUUUCAAAGAUUUAGGCUACAUUUGAUAUGGAUAUGCUAAAUUACAUCCCUGGAAGGUAUAUCCAAUAAAAUAUAUUAUAUUAUACUAUUCAUAUAAAAAAUAAAAUUUUUUUAAAGACAUAAGUGAUGAUGAUGAUUGAUUUUCAUAGAUAUAUCUAUAGUUAAAAUUUAUAAAUAUAUUGAUACAUAUCUUCAGAAAUAUUGAUGAAAAUAUUAACAAAAAUAUCAAUGAGAUAGAAAUUAAUCAAAACUAAUAAAAAUAAUAGAAAAUUUCUCAAAAUAAUAAUAAUAAUAAUAAUAAUAAUAAUAAUACAAAUGUUAAAAUUGUGUAUUAAAGAAAUUUGUAUAUGUAUUAUAUAAUUUGUGAUGGUUUGAUAAGACACAUAAAUUUUUUGAGAGUUACACUCAAUAUGAAUUUAUAUCAAAUAUUUGAUUUCAUCAAUUGUCAUGUCAAUAAUUUAUACAUAUUACAUUUUAUAUCAAAAUGAAGAGCAAUUGAUUUCAUAACACUAUUGAAUGAAAGAAUUUGACUUUCAUAUAAACAAUGUUGGAAUUAAAAUGGGAGAAUUGGCCUUUAGAUCCAUUUGACUUUGAUAAUUAAUAAAAAGUCAUUUAAAUACCUAUAAUUGAUUACAAGGAUAUGAGAUAGAAAUAGACAAAAAUACCCUUUUGACUUACACUCAUCAUUUUUGUCUUUAUACCACCCCUCUUUAUAUGUCACUUCUAUAAAAUUCUCCAUUAUUUAUUUUUUUAUUUUAUUUUUUUAAACUCUUUUAAGAAUAAUUGAAAAAUCAACAUUAUUUUCUAAACAAAAAUUAUAUUAAUGAUUCAAAAACUAUUUUGAAAAAAAAAUUUAAAUGAAUAAAAAAUUAUCUUUUACAUUUUAGAAGUAAAUAAUUUAAUGAUUAAACACCAUUUAAAAAUAAAUAUAUUUACUAUUUUUUUUCUUUAUACUAAAAAAGUAUUUUAAAGUUUAUUUUUUACUAUUAUAAAAUAAAAAAAAAUAAUUUUUUGAAUCUUUUUCCUUCUUUAUUUUAAUAAUUUUUUUAACAUAGACUUUUGGUAAUAAGUUAUAUGAAAUGUUGCAAAUUUUUUUAUUAAGGAAUUUUCUUAAUAAUUUGACUUAAUUGAAAAUUUAUUAAAAUAUAUACAAUAAAAUAAAUAAAUAAAAUAAAAAGGAUGGCUGAAGAGUUUUUAUUUUAAAUAUCCAAUUAAAAUAUUUUCGUAUUUAGAAAUGGAUUAUAUUAAUACAUAGUAUAAUAAAAAUUGAAUUUUUCUCAUAUAAAAGAAUUAAAUGGUAUAUUUACCAAUUUUAAAUUAAAACAGUAGUUAAAAAUGGUAUAGAUUAUAUUUGAGUUUGGUUUUAAAUUUUUUUUUUUUAGUUUUUACUUCUUUUAUAUUUGAAAAUAAUUUUUUAUUUUCUAUAUUGUGUCUUUUUUAAAAUAUGUUUAAUUAAAAAAUAAAGUUAUUUUUAAAAAUGAAAAUUGAAUACCUUGUUUAAUACUAUUUUUUUGUAUGAAAAUAAUAAAAAGAAUUAAAUUUUAUUUGUUGAUUAUUCUUUUUUAUUUUUUCUAUUAGUUAUUUUAAUAAUAAAAUAAAAAAUAUAAUAUGUUCACAAAUAAAUAAAUAAAUCGGUCAAUUAUAUAUUUUUUUUCACAAAAAUAUAAUAUGUUCACAAAAAAAAUUGGAUUUAAGUUUUUCAUUUUUUUUCUUAAUCAAACUACUGAAAUCAUAUUUAAUUUGUAUCAUUGUACAAAUGUAUUCACUAAUUGUAUAAGGGAAAUGUACUAAAUGUACAAGGAGUGUAAAAGAUUACCAUUUGUAAAAGAUUUUAAUCGAUUAUAAACCACUCAUUUAUCUUCCUUGUCAUCCAUGAAUUGUAUACCCAUAUCAUGCACUUUAUUUAACUCUCACAUAAAAAUUUCGAUACUUUCCCCAGUAAUGAUGUUUAAGGAAAAAAAUUUAACCCUAAUUCAUCAACUAUUUUCUUAGCUAAACCAUUAGAAAUAUGGUUAACACACGUACGUGGACACAUUACUUAAGAGGGAUAUAUUGCGUUAUUGUACAAUGGUAUUACACUAACUGUACAAGGGAAAUGUACUAAGUGUACAAGGGUGUACAAGACUACCAUUUGUGAAAGAUUUUAAUCAAUUCUGAAUCACUUCUUCAUUUUCCUUGUCACCCACGGAUUACAUACCCAUGUCAUGUACUUUAUUUAACUCCCACAUAGAAAUUCCGAUACUUUCCCUAGUAAUAAUGUUUGAGGGAAAAAAUUAGCCCUAAUUCAUCAACCAUUUUCUUAGCCAAACCAUUAGAAAUAUGGUUAACAUACCUACGUGAACACAUAACUUAAGAGGGAUAUAUUGCAUCAUUGUACAAUGGUGUUACACUAACUAUACAAAAGAAAUGCACUAAGUGUACAAGGGUGUAUAAGGUUACCAUUUGUGAAAGAUUUUAAUCGAUUUUGAGUCACUUCUUUAUUUUUAUUUUUUGUCACCUAUGAAUUGUAUAUGAAAUUUGCACUACUGUACAAGUGUGUUAUACUCACUAUACAAAGCAAAUGUACUAACUAUAUAAUACAAAAAUACUAACUGUACAGGGGGUGUACAAGACUACCUUCUAUGUAAGAUUUCAAUCAAUUCUGAACCAUUUUUUUUCUUGUCACCUAAGGAUUAUACACUUUCCCCCCACACAUUCCUUCACCUAAAAAUUAUUACAAUUUGAAUUUUUAAAUUUCAUCAUCCAAAAUUUGUAAUUGCAUAUUUCGUUUGAGUAGUUUUAACAAUUUUUUUUAGUACAUUUACAUCCCAUAUAAAGGAAAAUUAACCACAAUAUUUAGGUAUUACCCUUUUUGUGAAAUCAUGUAUGAGGAAAAAAAAAAAAAAGAGAAAAUUAUGAUACAUUUGCUUGACUUGAUGACAUUGUGUUUUAAUAAUUUAAACCAUGUCAAGUCCACAUCUAUUUCAUAUUUAAAAGGGUAUUUUAAUAUUUUUCAAAUUAUUAAAUUAUAAUACAUUAUUCAAUUAAAAAUUAAUUAUCACCAUUAGUUAAAAGAUGACCAUGUUACAAAAGAAUAUAUUAAGACAAUAUCUAUGUAUUAUCCAUAAAAUAGAUAAAAUAUUCAAAUAAUUGUCUAUAACCUUAAAGAUAUUUAUAUAAAAAAUAACUUAUAUAUAUAUAUAUAUAUAUAUAUAUAUAUUAGAUAAAAAAGAAUAAUACCAUUUUUUUAAGGUGUUUAAAAAAUAUUUAUUAUAUAAUUUGUAAGUUUGAAAAAAAAUACUUUAUGAGGUAUUUAAAAAAUAUUUACUUAAAAAAUGUAGUAAUAAUCAUUUUUAACCAUUGAUUUCUAAUAUUUUUUUUGAGAGAAAAAUAAUUGGUGGAAAUAGUGACACUUCCUUAACUAGGAAUUAAUUUGCAUGGUCCCAACAAUUAAUAUGUAAGAGAAAGGUAAAGUGAAUAAAGAGAGAGAGAAAAGGAAAGAGAGAAUGAGAGAGAAGUGGGAAGCCCAUUGUUUUUUUCAUUUUUGACAGCCAAGGGCAUUUCAGGAAAUUUUAAAAAGUAAUGUCCUUCAACUUAAUUUUCACUAUUCCAUUAGGUCUUGGGCUUAAAUAAGGAUUUUGGUCCAAUUUUCAAGCCCAAUUGGGGGUGUAAAACACAAUUCUCCCAAUUAAAAUCUGAUAAAAGAAAUAAUAAUGCAUAUAGUAAAGUUAUUUUAUUGAAAAAAUUAAUAUAUAAAUGAUAUAAUUUAUUACAUUCAUAUGUAAAGUUUAAAAAUACAUUUAAUAUACAAUUAUAUUUGGGAUAUAUGAUUAUUUUCUUGUUAAAAAAUAUUUGUAAUUUCGUUUAUAAAUUCAUAUAUAUUUUUGUAUUUAACCCAUUAUAUUUUUAUUUUCAAUAACAAUUAAAUAGAAUUUAAGAAUAAAAUAAUUAAAAUUAGUUAAUUCAUUAAAAAUUUAUUUUAAAGUUUUAUUUUUUAUAUAUACACAACAAUUUAGGAGAAAAUGUAGUGUAUAUAUAAUAUGUAGGCUAAUACAUGUAAUGAAGGCAUGGUUGCCCAAGUGAAUGGAGGUAUGUUUUUGUUGAGGGGUUUCUACAAAGUACAUCAUUUUUUAAAAAUAUUUAUUAAAAUAUUGUUGUCCCAAACUAUUUGUAAAACUACGACAAUUUGCUCUAAGUGGGAUUCCACGUAGACCUUGUAUGUUGAAAAGAUGAGUUCAAUGCAAAAUGAGAAUUUGUCUUUUCAACCACUAUUUUGAAAGUCGGACUUAAUUGGCUUGUUUGACCGGUUUGAUAAUCAAUAAUAGACUUUCUGAUUUAGCCCUCUUUAUUAAAUCAAUGGACAUUUGAACCGGCCCCAAGCCACUCGAAUCGGUGGUUGGAUCGAUGAACCACUGAACCUGGCGGUUCCAAUUGAAUCGAAUGGUUCAAUUCCCUUGCUCUUCUUUUCAUUAAAUGGGCCCAAUUUAAAACCCAAUCUCUCCUUAUUUCUUGAUUCAAAAGAGGCCUAAACAAAGCUCAACCUUCCAUUUAUUGGCAUUUAGUAAAAAUGCAACCUAAACACCACUUAAUGCGCCAUGCCUCAAUUCACAUGCUAUAGACAUGGCUUGCUAAGUUAUCAAUAUAAGGACCUUUUUUUCUUAUCCACAUAUGAUGUGGGAUUCAUGAUUUUAAGUAUAAGAAAAAAAAAAAAGGAAAACUCACUUGAAGGAUUUGAACUCUAGAGCAGCUGAGCAAAAUACAUGGAAGACCACUUAGGCUAUGUGCACUUUGUUGUUUAGAAUGACAAAUAAAAAAAUGUAGUUAAAAUUAAAUAAUUUUUUUUAUUUUUAUUUUGAAUAUAUUGACAUUUAAAUAUUAUACAUAUUUUAUUUAAUAAAAUUCAAAAAUAUUAAUAUAUUUAUACUUAUUUUUGAUAAUAUCAAAGAUAAAAAAUUUAUAUUAUUGAUUUUUAAUUAUUUAUAUAUAUUUUAAUUUUUGUUAUUAUUUUUAAUUUUAAUAAUAUAUAAAUUAUAUAUUUAUGAUAUCACUGGUUCGAUAGCGAUUCGAUCAUCGGUUCAACCACUGAACCGUAUUAUUUGAGUAACUUUUUCGAUUCAAUGAUUGAUUCAGCUCCAAAAACAUUGUUUUCAACAAAAGAGUUCAGUUUGAAAUUCAAAAUUCAUCUAUUGAAAAGAGAGUUCAGUGUAAAAUGAGAACUCGUCUUUUCAAUGGACAAGUUCAAUGUGAAAUUUAGAACUCGUCUAUUAAAAAGACAAGUUCAACGUAAAAUUAGAACUCGUCUUUUUAACGGACAAGUUUAGUGUAAAAUUUAGAACUUGUCUAUUGGAAAGACGAUUUCAUUGUAAGUUAUAGAGAAUGUGGCCUUCAUAUGGUUCAUAUUGUGUUAUAGUUACGUGAGUUUGUUUUCGGAAUUUAUGCAAUUAAGUUUGUUUCCAAAUCUUAGUUGAAGUCCAAUCCAAAUUGAGUUUGAAUUGAAAAUACUUAACUUGAAUUCAAUCCAAAUAUUAAAAUUGAUUCAUCCAAACUCAUUUAAGUGUUUGUGCUAUCAUGGAAUAUCGGAAAAAGAUGGGAGAUUAGACCUGUAACUAGUAGCUAAUGUUAACAAAAAAAUGUAUGAAAGAAAUGCUCCUUGAAUAUGCACAUGCUAUCAUCUAUUAGAUUAUUUGAAACCCCAUGGUUGAUCACCUGUUUACAAUAUUUGAAUAAAACCAUUCUUUAUGUGUAUGUAUAUAUAUAUAUAUAUAUAUAUAUAUAUAUCUUGAACAAAAAUUAUACAUAAUAGAUAAUUAAACAGAAAAGUUAAACAUUAAAGAAUCCAUAUUCCUAGCUACCUUCCAAAAUUUUCUGAAUAGCCUCUUAUGAUCAAAGCUCUUUGCUUUCCCAAGAUCAAUGACUAUAAUAUUUUUUUGCAAGGAGGAACAAUGACCUUCUCAAGUCUUUGUCUUGGUGGAAAAAUAGGAUUUUCAGCUAAGCAUUAUGGCCACAACAAAUAUACAAAAACUACACAUAUAUAAAUAUGCAAAAGCUACUUCAAAACAGAUUAGAAAAACAAAAGAGAAAAAAAUAACAAAUUGGAAUGGUUGAGUUACAAAGUAAAUGAGAAGAAAGAAUCUCACAACAUAACCAUACUUUUAAAUGUCAUAGCUCCAGCAAGGCUGCUAGUAACAAGUGAUCGAUUGAAAACAAAAAACACAACCUAUUCAAAUUUGAUAGAACUUAGAAUUCCAACACAAUGUCAAUACCAACAAAACAACAGUAAAUCUUACAACUCAUUUCCAUAAUGCGAAUACCAAUUAUCAGAAGAUAAAAUUUAGAACCAUCUCAGAGCAAUGUUGAGUGAACACCAACACAAGAAUUCCAUGCUCAUGUCAUCAAUAAUCCAAUACACACUAACCCUACAAUAGUUCCCAAUAACAAUAUCAGUCAACUGAUACACAAUCAAUAGGAACAUUUGAGGCUAUAACAUUAUUUAAUCCCAAAUAUUAUUCACUUUUGGAUAUUCAUUAGAGAACCAUUGCAAUACUAGAUUGAAAUAAAUCUUAGGAAUUAAGGAAAAUCUUUAAUACGACCUUAAUAAUCUUAAUGGAAUAAACAAUUGUCUAACCCAAAAAAUAGUACCAGAACUAGAUUUUUAAUUUUUGUUGUUACCAUUUCAAGUAUAAACAACAACAAGGCAACAUGUCCCCAAUAUCCCAAAGCUUUGUAACAAUAAACUACGUAACAAGUUUUAGUAAUUGUUAGAAAUACUCAGCAUGUACGUCCUUAAUAUCCCAGAGCUUUGUAACAGUAAACUACGUAACAAGUUUUAGCAAUUGUUGGAAGUACUCAACCUGUAUGUCCCCAAUGUCCAAGCAUGGAUUUCUUGUCUUUAAUCUUAGUCUGUCCAUGUAUUGGCCUUCAUUCUAACAUUUACAAACCUCUAAAAUUCUAAUUUAUCAAACUUUUAUUUUGGAGGAAUAUUUAAAUGAUUGAAUUUAAUUAAAAUUUGCUCUGUCAAUUCAAUAUUUUAUUUGGAUUCAAUAUGAUUCAAUUAGUUAUCUUCUUGGUAGUUAUUUUUAAUUAGUAUUUAACAUUAGCAACACAGGCAUAACACAUAAUCAUGGUUUUACAAUGAUGUUUGCAAUAAUUUAGAAAGCUAAUAAAAUCUGGGUAGAAAAAUAAUUGCUUUCAAACCCAAGGAGAAUUCCAUUUCAAAUGACACAAGCAUAACCUUAAACAAUAAAUGUAUCUCAACCUAUCAUAAGCCAUAAGAAGCCUUAGAUAGGCUCUACCUACUACUAUUAACAAGAACAUAAAAUAAACAUUUCUAGUAAAGCAUUAAAGAAAACCUAUAAUAAUGAAUCACAAAAGAAAACACUUUUACCUGACAAAGGAUGUUUCCUUAGGUGAGUAAUCUUUAGACGACAAAUGACAGAGAUGUAAUCAACCUCUUAUGAUCUCCUAUAAAGACAAAAUGAUAUUAGCAACUACCAUCUCAAUAAGAAAAUAGAGUAUGAAAAAAACCAUCAAUUAACCAAAGAAAUAGUCCACUUCUUGUCAAAAAUUAAACUAAACAAUUAAACUUGUUGUUGCAUAGGUAUUUUCUGAAAGGGGAUAAGGGAAGAAGAGAACAAAAUGAUGCAAAUGGGGUUUUUUCAAAAGAGAAAUAAGGAUUUUCUAAAACCUUGAUGAUGCUUAUGUAGCACCCAUGUGGCAAAAUGUGCCAUAUUUCUAUCAAUAUUUUUCAAUGUGCAUUCUUUUAAAAAUAUUAUAUUUUAAUAAAAAAAUCCAAUGUUGUUGAGUACAUAACUAGAUAAUCCCAUCACAACUUUAUGUCGAAUUAGUGGAAUUAGCUAUGUAAAUACUGAGACAAGAAAACAUACACAAACCUUUCAAAACCCCAUUAUUACAAAAUACCAGAUCAAAUUUAAAAAUUAGAAAAGCUAUUCUUCAUGAAAAUAUUCCUUAAUAAAUUUUCAAAAAACAUGUGUAUUAUGUUCAUAAGUAUAAUAGGAAAACUGAUGGACUAUUUGGAUUAAAACGAGUAAGAAAAGUAAUUUUUUCAUCAUUAAUGAAAUCUGAAAAUGGUAUUUGUCACAUAGUUUGAUGUUGUUCCAUAGAAACGACUAUCUUGGUUCAACAACCAAAUUAGUUCACAUUACAAACCAUGUACCAUUUGUAAACACCCCUUCCCCCCCUUUUUUUUUCUCCAGUCAUUCCAAUAAAUUUCACCACUACCCUUCCACCAAAUUUGUAAAGAAUUCAUCAAUUUUUCAACUAAAUAACAAAAAUAAACUUCAUUAAGUUGAAUUUGACAUUUGAGUUAAAAUCUUCAAACUUUCAAAUUUUGUUGUACAAAUUCUAAUCCAAAUUUAGUGAAUUUUAAAUCGAUGAUUCUAUAGUUCAUCUAACUCAAUCAAGAUUUCAAUUUUUGACUAAUAAUGAUGUGAAUUCAACUUUAAAUGCAGAAGCUUGAUAAACUGACUAUCAAAUAAUUACUCAAACCAAAACCAAAAAACCCCCUUUUGGAAUGAAAAACGAAAUUUCAACUCAACAAAUUGGCUAUCUCAUCUUCAAACCAAAAUUUUUCCUUCCAAAACAUGUCUACCCAAAAACCCAACUAGGCUAGAAUCAUCCAAAAUAUUUGCUACUUCACAAUCUUUAAAUUUCAUUAAGCUAAUAUGAAGGCAAUUAUUUUUUAAAUUUUCAACACCCAAUACCAAGCUUCAAGAAAUUUGAUAAAAUGAAAAGAAAUUUAAAAUUUGAAGAAACCUAGAAUUGAAACAUCACAAAUACACAACAUUCAAUGAAUUAAAGAAAUGCAAGGGUUUUAAUGGAAAAAAAAUAUAAUAAAGUUGACUAAGCAUGGAAGACAGACCUUCACUAAGUCUUUACCUAAUAAUGGAUGGGAUUGUCUUGCCACCCCACUCUCAUUUGCACAUUUCUAGAACCCUCCACUUGCAUAUAAGGGGAAAACUUAAAUCACGAAGGUUGAGAUACAUACCAUGCUUAAAACCCUAAAUUUGAAAAGUUUCAGAGAUAAAUACAGAGCUAGCUAGAAAAAAAAAAAAGAAAAAAUUCAAAAACAAAAUUUUCAAGCUUACUUUGUUGACAAUUAGCAAUGGUGAAAUUUUUUAGGAAGAUUGACAGUGGAGUGUUUGAAAUGAAGGUGAGUUGAGUUUCCUUUCUAUGGAGAAUAAAGAAAAAGAGAGUGUUGGAAGAAUGGGAUUUUUAGAAAAAAAUUAUGUGGUAUCCAUGUGGUACCUAUGUGGCAAAAUUUAUUGUAUUUCUAUCAAUAUUUUUUAAAGUGCAUUUUUCUAAAAGAACAUUUUGUUAAAACAUUAUAUUUUAAUAAAAAAAAACCCAUGAUAGAACCUAUUCCAACCUAGCCUUGCAAUUCUCAUAUUUGACCUUCAACUUUGACCAUGCUUGAUGCCACAUAUGGUAAAUUCAUACAUUUUGUAGGACCUCAGAUGCUACCAACUCUCCUAAAAGAAAUUACUAUUAGGAAAGGCGCAUACCCUAACCUUAUAGUGCGUUCACCCAAGCGCUCAUGACGAACACAAGGGGUUGAUGGACGCAACCAACCCUCCGAUCUACCAACAAUCUCCCCACCCCCCUAGCGACACCUUCGAACCCGUGACCUCGGCUCUGAUAAUACUUGUAGAACCUUAGACGCUACCAACUCUCCUAAAAGCAAUUGCUAUUAGGAAAGGCACAUACCCUAACCUUAUAGUGCAUUCACCCAAGCGCUCAUGACGAACACAAGGGGAGUUGAUGGACGCGACCAACCCUCCAAUCUACCAACACCUUUUAUCAAAUCAUUAAUUGAAAAUAAAUUGAAACUUCUUUUUUUUUUAAUAAAUAAAUUGAAAUCACUAAUUCAAAAUUAUUUUUAAUAAAAUCAUUUGAAAUUUCUCGAAAACUAAUUCUUUCAAAUAUUUUUUUUCUAAUUAGUUCAAUAAAUCAAUUUGCAUAAUUUUAUUGUCAUUCAUUUUGUAUAUUCUUGUAAUUUUAUUUUGUCAUGAUCUUUGUGUAUAUUGUUUCGUUUCUUUAAUCUUGGUAUCCAUGAUUAAUUAAUUAAUUGCCAUAAUUUCCUUAAUUUGUUUAGUAGAGACCAUACAUAUACGAGCUUAGAAGGGUGUUACGGUUCACCACCAUACCUUCUAAAUAGGUAACCUGACCCUCGGAUCCAGAUUCUAUUUUUGCAGACACGUCUUUUCCAAAUAAGGAGUCACACAAUGUUUUCUUUCUUAUUUUGUUUUCCCUUUAAAAAAAAACUAAAAUAAGUGGCGACUUCAAGUAUUUUUCAAAAAAUCAAAUUUUCACCAAAUAAAAAGCGAGUAUCGUCCUCGAGUGGGGACACACAUGAAAAAUAAGGGGUCCACAAAUGUGAUAUACAUAUCAUAGAUAUCAAAUAAAAUAUGUAUAUAUAAAAAUUAAAUAAAAGAAAGAGAAAUGAAAAUCAUAUCAUAUUUCAAUGUUCAAUAAUUUUUAAAAAAGUAAAAAUGAUAUUACGUAGACCCUUUAUUUUGUUCCUAGCACACAUUUUUAUUAUUAUUUUUCUUUUCACCCUAUUUUUUUUAAGUGCGUGUUUAUGACUUUCUUUUAUUCAAUUUUUCAUCAUUCCUUAUCGGUUCAUGUUUACUCGACUCAUUACUGAUUUUUGAGCUAUAUUUUUUGAUAUCAUUGGAGGAUUAUUUCGAUUUGAGCAUGAUUAUUGGAGGCCCUUUAGGAUUAGUUUUUUUGAGUUUGUAUUUUUAGGAUUUUAGAGCUUUUGGUGUCUUUAACGCCCUUUUUUUUGGGCUUUUGUAGGGUUUUUUUCCCCACUUUUAAGGAAACUUUUGGGGAAGCCUCUUUUUUCUGUUUGAGGGAGACAAGUGGUAAAAAGAAGAGGCUACGAGUGGGCUAUUUGAGAAGGAAGAUUCUCUUUUUGGUUAAGGGGUUGGUUAGAGGCUUAAGCUACAAGAAAAGAAAAUAAUAGAGGAAGUAGGAAUAGAGCAAUAGAAAGAGAGUUUGAAACCGGGCACAUCUUGCUCUAGGGGAGACCUACCAGGUGUGGACACUAUGAUUUUCUUGUUUCUCAUUCUUUUCACUAUUUUACUCUAUUUUUUUAUUGAUUUUUGGGCAUUAUCCUAUUGACUAGGAGUGGACAUUAUGGGUUACAUGUUUGUUCCGAUUGAUCUCUAAAUUGUUUUGAUUGUGUUCUACUAUGACUUUUAUUUUUAUUUGGUUUUGUUGGGGUUAGCUUGGCUGUUUAUUGAUUUCUUUAUAAGAUGCUUGCCACUAUGUCUUCGGUUCAUUUUAAAAAUCCAUUUUGUUCAUCCCACACAGUUUUUCAAGCUCAUUGAUUACCCAUCAGAUGAAGUUAUAUAUAAUUUUUUUUGGUCAUAUUUAUUCUUGCUUUGUCUCUAUUUUUCCUUCAUUUUGUAUUUCUCUACUUCUGGUCUGCAAUGGAUGAGGGCUUUUUAGAACUCUACUAUCAAUGCUGAUGGUGAUGACUUUGCCAAUAGUGAGGUUGAUCAUUUUGGUGCUAAUGAAAGCAACAACAUGGAUUCUGGCAUAUUUGGGACUACUUAUCAUGGAAAAUGGUGGAGAAUAGAUGUUGCUAUUAAAAUAAUAAAGAAAAGGGUCGCAGGGAGGGUGAGUGAAAGUCUUUUCACUUUGCUUCAAGAAAGGUAGAUGGGUAUUAUGAUUUUGAUACCAUCUUUAGGUGUCAUCAACAUGAAGGGUGAGUGGGUAGACCUAUAAGGUUCAUUGAAGUAGCUAAGGAUAUUGAAAUUGUGAAGAGAUAAAAAGUUUUGGUAUCUGGUUAUAGAAUUAGUUACACACUAUUACUUGUUAGUGACUGUUAUGGAAUUGGUUACACAUUGUUAGAAGUAGUUAGAUAUGGAGAAGGUUAUUUAAGUUAUGAACUCUAUUUUUUCAUCAAUAAGAAAUACCCAUUUUAUCAAUUUUGAUAUUGUAUCAAAGCCAUUCUAAAUGAUUGGAGAGAAUUCAUUUUCUUCUUCAUUGGAGAGCUCUCCUGCCAUGGAGAAAUUUGUUCUGGGUGUAUUUGCACACUAUUUGUCAAUCAAAUUGAAUGAUAACAAUUUUCUUCUCUGGAAACAGUAAGUUGGAGUGUAAUACAAGGUUACAAACUACAAAAAUUUAUUGUGGAAAAUGAAGAUCAACCAGAAAGUUUCUUAUGGCUAGAGAUCAUGUUUAAGGAAAGAUCAAUCCAGAGUAUCUUGACUGAAAACAACAAAAUCAAUUGCUCUUUUCAUGGCUAAUCUUUUCAAUGAAAAAAAGCGAUGCUCAUGCAAAUGGUUGCGUGUGAAACUUCACGUCAAAUCUAGAAAACUCUUGAGGUGUUCUUCGCUUCACAAACCAAAGCCAAGAUAUCAUAGUUCAAGACUAGGCUCCAUAACAGAAAGAAAGGUGAUUUAUUGGUAAAUGAUUAUCUGUUAAAGAUUAAAUCCCUAGUCGAUCAGCUAACUUCUGUUGGAGAUGUUCUUGCAACUAAAGAUCAUAUAGAUGCAAUCAUUUAUGGAUUGUCUUCUGAGUACGAUACAUUUGUUGUUUUAGUAAAUUCAAGAAAUGAUUCGUAUACAGUAGCAGAGAUUGAAUCAAUGUUAUUAGCACAAGAAAGCAGGAUUGAAAAACAUUUUAAGGAGCUUGAUUUAGCAAAUCAAGUGAAUAUGGUGAAGAUUUUUAAUAAUCAACUGUCCCAUAAAAAGUUUAAUGGGAAGGAUAAGGUGGUUUUCAACGCAAUAUUAUUGGACCAAGUAAUUAAAGAUCUCAAAAUUUCAAUCCUACUUCAGGUAGACAAAAUCAAGGAAAUGGAAGAAGUGGUAGGCAACAAUGGAAGCCACAAUUUUAGUUGUGUGGUAAAAUUGGACAUGUAGUUGGAAAAUUCUACCAUAGGUUUGAUCUAACCUUCAUUCCAAUUCAAUUUCAGUAAAAUGAAGCUCUACAAAUGUCUGCCUAGAUGGUUUCUAUGGUGGCUACUCCUAAUGUUGUGAUAGAUAAUUGUUGGUAUCCCAACUUUGGUGUAACCAAUCACUUCACACCAGAUCCCAAUAAUCUCAUUAUUCAAGACACAUGCAAUAAAUUACCAAAUUCAUAUGGGAGAUGGUAUUGGUUUUGCAAUUCAACACAUUGGUUAGUCAAAAUUUCCUUCUCAAUUCUCAUAUAAACUUCUAGUUCUAAAAUAGCUUCUUCAUGUCCCAUCUAUUUCGAAAAAUCUUUUGAUUUUCUCUAAAUUUGCUCAUGAAAAUAACGUGUUCUUUGAGUUCCAUUAUAAUCAAUGUUUUGUUAAAGACUAGGUCACAAGAAUUGUCCUACUAUAGGGUAAAGUAGUCAAUGGAUUGUAUGUUUUUUAUAGCUCAAGCAUUCCACUCAAGCCCCAAUCACUCAAGUCCUCGUUAGCUUAUCAUGUUCCAUGUUUUCCUAUAAAUCCAAAAUGAAUGUAUGUGCAAGUUGCAACAACAACCUCCAAUGUUUCAAGUGAUCCUAUUUUUCAACUUUGGCACAAUAAGUUAGGCCACCCUAAUGCUAAAGUAAUUAAAAAAGUCUCAUCUCUUUGUAAUAUUCCAACUAUCAAUAAAGACUUGCCUGAUUUUUGUAAUGCUUGUUGUCUAGGAAAGCAUCAUAAAUUUCUUUUUCUCAAUUCUACUAUUGAGUACACUAAACCUCUAGAACUCGUACACUUAGACUUGUGAGGACCUUCCCCUGUUUUGUCUUCUAAUGGCUAUAAAUACUAUGUUCACUUUGUUGAUUCUUUUUCUUGUUUCACUUGAGUUUAACUACUUAAAAAUAAAUUUGAUACCCUACAAACAUUUAUUAACUUCAAAACUCAGGUAGAGUUACAACUAGAUUGUUCUAUCAAGAAAAUCCAAACUGAUAAGUACCAAGCUUUUACAAAUUAUCUUGAGUCUAAUGAAAUAAUUCACCCAGUUGCUUAUCCUAGAACCCAUGAAUAAAAUGGUCUUGCUGAAUGCAAACAUAGGCAUAUGAUUGAAACAACCUUGACACUCUUAGCUCAUGCCUUUUUACCUCUAUGAUAUUGGGAUGAAGCUGUGAGAACAUCAAUUUUUCUUAUCAACAAUUUUCCUUCCUCAAUACUUUCUAGUCAAAUUCCUCUCCUAGUUUUGUUCAAACAACAAGUAGAUUAGUCCAUGCUGAAAACGUUUGACUACUCCUAUUUUCUAAACCUUAGACUCUAAAACAAUCCUAAGUUCCAAUUUUGGUUUGUGGAAUGUACUUUCUUGGGCUAUAGUAUCAAACAUAAAGGUUUCAAGUGUUUAUAUCCUCAAGGUCAUAUCUAUAUAUCCAGAGAUGUUCAAUUCAAUGAGAAAUAAUUUCUUUUUUCAAAACCAAGUCAAUUACUUCUCUUUUAUUCCUAGUUUAACACCUACUUCUCAUUCUGCUCUUAUUCCCAUUCAUUCCUCAAUUCUGUUUGUACCCUCACCUUCCACUUCUUCUAUUACAAACACAAUUGUUGACCAAUCCAAUUCUAAUUAGACCAAUACUAAUCUUGUUUAAGACGUAUCUUGAAAUGUUCAUUCCAUGAGAACCGGAUCUAAGGUUGGAAUAUUCAAAUCUAAAGUCUUUAUGGCUUCUAAAGAACCAACUUCAAUUAAAGAAGCUUUACAACAAGAUCAUUGGAAAGCUACUAUCAUUGAGGAGUAUCCAACACUUGUUAAGAACAAGACUUGGUCACUAGUACCUCUACUACCUAAUAGGAAAGCAAUUGGUUGUAAAUGGGUGUUUAAAGUGAAUGAAAACCCAACUGGUAGUAUACUGAAGUAUAAGGCAUGAUUGGUAGCAAAUGAGUUUAUCCAACUUUCAAGUUUUGAUUUUACUGAGACUUUUAGUCCUUUAGCCAUGCUUACUACAAUAAGAAUUGUUCUAACAAUUGCCUUAUCAAAGUGUUGGUAUGUAAAACAGUUGGAUAUGAAUAAUGCAUUUUUAAAUGGAUAUUUAUAAGAGAAAGUGUGUUGGUUGCAUAAAGCAUUAUAUGGUUUAAAGCAAGCUUCAAGAGCCUAGUUUGAAAAACGAAGGGAUGCUUUAGUUUCUUUGGGGUCUAUGUGCUCCAAAUUUGAUCAUUCUCUAUUCAUUAGACAUUUUGCUAGUUGUACCAUGUUUGUUUCAGUGUAUGUUGAUGAUAUACUUGUGAUAGGAAAUUCUAAAGUUGAGAUUUAAGCCUUGGUAUAACAACUCAAUACCAAUUUUACAUUAAAGGACCUUGGUGAAGUUGACUACUUAUUGGGAAUUCAAGUUAAAAAUACCAAUGUUUUCAGAACCGGACUAGUCAUUGAAUCGGAAAAGUUACCGGUUCACCUUUCACUGGUCGGACCGGUGGUCUAACCGCGGUUGAAUCGGUGAUGUGAUAAAUAUAUAAUUUAUAUUUUAUUAAAAUUAAAAAUAAUUUUAAGAAAUUUAUAUAAUAUUAAAAUUAUAGCAUUUCAUUUUUUUUUGUAUUUGAUAUGCCUAUUAAAUGAUAAACAUAAAUAUAAAUGUAUUAAUAUAUGAAAUUUUAUUAAAUAAAAUAUGUAUAAUAUUUACAUAUGAGAAGAAAAUUAUAACAUUUAAUUUUAUCUACAUAUCUAUGCAUUUUUUAUUUUAAAAUUUUAAAAAUAUUAUAUUAAUUAAUUUAUAUUAUUUUCAUAUUUAUUGUUAAUAAUUAUUAUAAAAAUAAAUAUGAAUAUAAAUAUUUAUAUUUGCUUAAAUAUUUUAUAUUAUAAAAAUUUGCAAAGAGCAUUAAUAUAAAUUAUUAGUUCCUAUAUCUAUCAAAGGAGUUGUGUAGCAUAAUGGUUGGCUAUUUCUUUUAUAAACCUUGGAUCCGAAAAUUUAAUGAGUUGAUUGAGUUCUAUAAAUAACCCACCCCUAAAGGAAAAAACAUUCUGCUCAAUGGGUUGCCUGUGGGUGGGAAGAUUGUAGGCCCAGACAAGGCCCAAGAGUGUUUUGGUCAACCCACAUGUUAACCGAACGGUUCGUCCGGUUCAACAGUUCAAUUGCUGGUUCGUCCGGUUUACUGUCUGUCCAAAGUCUCUUUCGGCUCAAAAGUUGAACCAGACCGAAUCAAGGUCUGGUCGGCGGUUCAAUUGGUUGAACCGACCAGUCCGGUCCAGUUUUUAAAUCAUUGAAAAAUAAUGAAGAUGGUUUACAUUUAUCACACACUAUGUAAUAGAUCUUUUGUGUAAGACAAAGAUGUAGUAUGCUAAAGAGUUGGUCAUACCUAUGUCUAGAAGAGAAAAAUUGUCCAGCAUUGGAAGUGAUCCAGUAGGCAAUCCAUAACCAUAUCGAAGCAUAGUUGGAGCCCUACAAUAUGUGACAAUUACACGACCAUAACUUGCUUACUUAGUCAACAUGGUUUGUCAGUUUAUGCAAAAUCCUUUGGAGUCUUAUUGAAAGGUAGUAAAAAGAUUCUUAGAUUUCUAAAGGGAACACUUGAUCAUGGUUUACAUCUUAAGAGAUUAAUGAACUUAGAGAUUAUAGGGUUUUGUGAUGCAGAUUGGGCUUUAGACCUGGAUGAUAGGAGAUCAACUACUGGCUUCUCUGUAUACCUUGGUUCAAAUUUGAUAUCUUAGAAUUCAAAGAAGCAAAACAUAGUCUCAAGGAGUAGCACCAAAAUUGAAUAUAAGAGUCUAGCUACUUUGUUAGUAGAUGUUACUUGGACACAAUCAUUGCUGACACAAUUACAAAUUCCUCAAGGUCGUGUUUCGGUACUAUGGUGUGAUAAUUUGAGUACUGUACUCAUAUGAGCAAAUCCUAUUUUACAUGCUUGCACAAAACACAUUGAGUUGGACUUAUAUUUUGUGCAUGAGAAAGUUAUGAAGGAGUUGGAUGUUAGACAUAUCUCAUCACAAAAUCAGACUGCAAACAUUUUGACCAAAGCUUUAUUUAAUAAUCAAUUUUUGUUGUUAAAGAACAAACUAAGAGUUGAACAAUUAUCCACUCUUAGUUUGAGAGGGGUUGUGAAGAGAUAGAAGGUUUUGUUAUCUAGUUAUGGAAUUAGUUACACACUGUUACUUGUUAGUGACUAUUAUGGAAUUGGUUACACGUUGUUAGAUGUAUCUAAAUAUAGAGAAGUUUAUUUAAGUUGUGAACUCUAUUUUCUCAUCAAUAAGAAAUACCUAUUUUAUCAAUUAUGAUAGAAAUCAAUCAAUGUUGAGGGUGUUAUGGUUGUUUGCUGUGUUGGGAACCCUAAAUAACUCCAUUCCCAUGCCCUGAAUCUCAUAGGGUGCAUGCAUCUAUCCUUAAAGCUCUAUAGAUCAAACACAAUAGAAAGUAAUGGCUUUAAAAAUCAUUAUAAAAUAAAUAUCUAGAGAAAAAGUGCUCAUAUGUGGAUUUGGAUGUUCCCAAAUCAAUUCCUUGUGGUGAAGAACAUGCCUAGAAAAACUAGAAAUCUUUCCGCAUGUUGUUACCCAUGUACGCAUUUAUGGACCCACAUUUUUCAUGUGCGUCCCCACUCAAUGGCGAGACUCAUUUUUAUUGGUGAAAAAUUAGUUUUGUAAAAUUUGGAGUCACCAUUUAUUUUAUUUUAUUUUAAAAGGGAAAAUAAAACAAGAAAGAAAACCCUAAAGAAGUGGCUCCAUAGUUUUGGAAAAACAAGCUUUGAAAAAAAAAACCCGAGUCUUGAUUUGGGGAUCAGAUUACCUAUUGGGAAGGUACCUCUAAGAGGUAGCACCCUUCUAAGCCCUAAAGAGGUCUCUAAUGACUAAGUUGAGGGAAAAAUGGUAAUUAAUCAAUUGAUUGAGGGUACCUAGGUAGGCUAAGGUGAUUUCAAAACUAGCAUGACAAAAAAAGAAAUCAAAUCACAAUCGCUAAGGAAGAUUAGGAUGUGUACCUGGACUGCCUCUGAAGAGCUAUCAUAAAACAUCAAAGUUAGUGUAGAAAUAUAGUACACAAUAUGCAUUUUUAUCAAAGAUAACCAAAUGAUCCAACGUAUAUUAAGGCAAUCAAGCAAGGGCAUAGUACACAAAGAUAUGAUAUUCGUGGAAUUUUGAAAAUGGGGUGAUGGAGAGCGUACCUAGAUAACGAACUGAGCCAUAAAAUGAGGAACAAGGUUAACUCAAUAAUAGGUGUAAAAUCAUCUCAUGUAUUCACGAAGAGGAAACACAAUCAAUCAAAUAUCAAACAAACAAUAUUAAAGAAAAUAUCAUAGAUGUUGGGCCCCCACCAAAGCCCUAAUUAAUUUCGCAUGAGUUGAUUCUAUGAAUUCCAUUGUUUGGAAUUAUGAAGUUUGUUCAUGCUUGUUGAAAAUUGAGAAAAUCAAGAAAAUGGUUGAAAGUCAAAGAAAAUAGUGAAAAUGCAUGCCGAAAGGAAAAAUGGCGGCAAAAGAUUAUUGAAAUCUAGAUUUUAUUGCCUAAAGAAGUUUCGAAGAUGAUUAUCUAAAAUCAGAGUUAUUUGGAUGAAGAUGAUUUUGAAAACAUUAUUCAAAAUGGGUAAAAUCACGAGGAAAACAAGAGGGGUGCAAAAGGAAGAGGGUAGUGUGCACCAAAGUGGCCAUGUAGGAGUGAGACUUGGGGGUUUGGCUGUGGCUGGAUUGCUGAUGGUUGUGUGAAGAGGCCUUUGUAUAUUGCUCGCAUGUUUGGAAAAGAACUAGCCAUAUUUAUUUCAGAGCAUGUGCUCACUUGCUGCCACUCAUUCUUGAGUUUCAAGUCUUUGCUUAGAAGUUCAUUUGAUCCAUUAGUUUUUUCACAAUUUUCUUUUGGAUUAUUUUGUAGCUCAUAUACUUUGUUUUCCUGCUUAUCACGAGUGUUAGAAAAAUGAGGCUAAUCCAACCUAUGGUACUCACCCUAGAGAAGGGGGGAGGGGGGGGGGGGGGGGGGGGGGGGGGNNNNNNNNNNNNNNNNNNNNNNNNNNNNNNNNNNNNNNNNNNNNNNNNNNNNNNNNNNNNNNNNNNNNNNNNNNNNNNNNNNNNNNNNNNNNNNNNNNNNGGGGGGGGGGGGGGGGGGGGAUGUGAGAAUAGGGUGAUGGUCUCUUUUUGCAAAUUUAAACUAAGUGAAUGUAAGAGAUAAUUAUAUGCAAGUAUAUAAUAAGCAAUAUAAAGACAAUUGCAUAUAAAUUAAAGAGUAGGGAAGAGAGAAUGCAAACACAAGAGUUUAUAGUGGUUCGACGCAACCCGACCUACAUCCACUCUCCUCUAGCUUCAAUCCCAAGCUUGAGGUUCCACUAAUUCAAGGUUUCCAAACCAAACCUUCAAUCAAUACAAUUGGAUUAUUGUUCCAAUUCACCCUCUUGGACUUUUGGCUCCAAGCACCUUUUACACUUCUCAAGAGAUAUCCCACUCUUGAAAAACUUCUUCUCAAAGAUUUACAAAUAAAUGAUCUCACAAAAAUCAUAGCACAAAAACUUUAAGCUCAAAUGAUACAAGAAAACUAGGAUUGAAAGGUGCACUAAAGAUAUGCAAGUUUUAGAACAAUGGUGCACUAAAAAACACUCUUCCAAGGCUCAAAUAUAUUCAAGAAAGGUUUGGGAAGGUUAAAAAUUUUUAAACAAUGAAGAUUGGAGCCUUUUUGUAGAAGAGAAAAGCCAAACUAGCCGUUUGGGGGUUCGACCGGUCGAGUUAGGGGUCAACCAGUUGACUAGCCGUUAGCAUUAAAUCUUGGCAGGUGACUGUUGGGCCUUAACUGGACCUCAACAGGGAAGAGAAGGCCACUGGGAUUCAUUGAUAGAGCAACUUUUGAGACAUAGAGAGUUCUUUCAAUUCAUAUUUUUCAGAGGUUUUUCAUGAUGCAUCGGUUUCUAACCCAUUAAUUUCAGUGGAUGAUUGAUUUACUGGUUUUUUUAGCAGGGUGAGUACCCUAGAUACUAGGGCAUAUUUCUCUUCUUGAGUUCAGUAGUCCGAACCUUGGCAUUUUGAGUAUACGGCUUUGAACCCAUUUACUUCCUAUUCACUUUUGAGUUGGUCUUCUCUAUUUGUUCCUUCUAGGCCCUAAGCCUUGUAGCCCUAAGUUAUUCUUCUUCCCUUAGGCCCUGAGCUUGGUAGCCUUGAGCUAUUAUUUCUCUCUAUACCCUGAGCCACGUAGCCCUGAGCUAUCUUUCUUUUUUUAGGCCUUGAGCUUGGUAGCCUCGAGCUAUCCGUUCCUUCUAAGCCUUAAGCCUGAUAGCCCUGAGCUAUUGUUUCCUAAAGACCAGGAGCCCUUCUAGGCCUGAGCUGAGCCUUCAUCAUUUGGUCGCCUAUAAGUGGUUUGACCUAGAGUUUGCAUAUUACACUCUCCUUCUAGCUGAUCAAUCAUAGAGCCUAGAGCUCAUAACCCUGAGUUGUUCACAUAGCCCUGAGCUAUUCAUCGUAACCCUGAGUUACUCAUUGCAUCAUGACCUAGAGUUGUUCAUACCAUAAAUGGCCCUGAGUUAUUCAAUUGUGACCCGAAGUUACUCAUUUCAUCCAUGACCUAGAGUCAUUCGUGGCAUCCCAAGCCCUGAGCAUAUGACCCGAAGUCGUUCAUAUCAUUCACAUAUCUGAGAUGUUUCGUUUUCAUCAUUCUAGCCACUUACAAGUGGCCUUGACCCAACACCAUGAGUCGAAAAGCAUCCUGAUCAGCUAUCCAUUUAGAGCCCUGAGCUCAUAACCCUGAGUCAUUAUUCUUAUUUAUGACCCAAAGUCAUCCAUAACAUUUAGAGCCCUGAGCUCACGACCCUGAGUCAUUAUUCUUAUUUAUGACCCAGAGUCAUCCAUAGCCUUUAGAGCCCUAAGCUCACGACCCUAAGUCAUUAUUCUUAUUUAUGAUUUAGAGUCAUCCAUAGCAUUUAGAGCCCCGAGAUCACGAGCCCGAGUCAUUAUUUUAUUUUUGACCUAGAGUCAUUCUUAGCAUUUAGAGCCCUGAGCUCGCAACCCUGAGUUGUUCUUCUCAUUCGCGACCCAGAGUCAUUCUAUCCAUUUAGAGCUUUGAUCUCACAACCCUGAGUUGUUAUUCUUAUUAACCCGGAGUCAUUCUUAACAUUUAAAGCCCUGAGCUUCCAACCUAGAGUCAUUCAUAACACUUAGAGCCCUGAGCUCCCGACCUAGAGUCAUCUAUAGCAUUUAAAGCCCUGACCUUCUGACCCAAAGUCAUUCAUAGCACUUAGAGCCCAGAAUUCCUAACCCAAAGUCAUUUAUCACAUCCAUGACCUUGAGUCAUAAUUGUCACCCUUUCCAUCUUUGUGUUACUUGUCACAUACAUUUCUCCCUUCAUUUUCAUUCCCCCGACAUAGAGUUGUCCCAUUCUUAUCGUUGCAACCCCGUGUUCCUAGCUUAUCCUAAUCACGUGCUAGGACAAAAUCUCUAGUCCUUCUUUAGUUCAUCAGUAUGGUUCACUUCGUUCCAUUCAUUAUUCGUAUUUCUACUCACGUUCCCUAUACUCAUGAUCUUUACCGAAGAGGGGCAUAUUUGUAGACCCUCCAUUUUGCCCUCCUAGCACAUGUCCUAUUAGCUUUUUGUUCAGUACUUUACAACAAUUCCCUGAUGGCCCAUUACUACUCAUGUAGCUUAUCUUUUCUGAGCCACCUUAGAGAUUUUGGUUGAGGGGUUUAUCCGACUCCUCAUUAUGACAUCGGUUGUCCUUCGAGUUUAUAUUAGGCUUCACUUAGGUCUACUUUAGGUUAGACUCAAUUAGGUACCGCCUUAGGCCCAUUUAGGUACACUUGGCCCAUUAGGCAUUCUUAGUGUGACUUGUAUGGUUGCAUGUCUUGCAUGGCUCAUUUAUCUUAUUUGUCUAUUUAUUUGUUUGUUUGUUUGUUUUUUAAUAUUAUCAAUCACCUAUUUUUAUUUACUAUUACUUAUUUAUUUGUUUAUUAUCUUGCUAUUUAUUCAUUUAUUUAUUAUUAUUAUCUUAUCAUUCUUUGAGAAAAUCUUUAUUCAUUUAUCUUAUUUAAUAAUUUGAUGCUUUUAUAGGGAAAUCUAUCAAUGGAGAUCGAGAAGUCUUUGGAAAAUGUGGGACUCUUUAGGUGAUAUGCAUGGAUUGAUUUUUGGAAAUUCAAAGAAGGAUUUUUUUUUUUUUUUUUUUGGAUAAGACAUAGAAUUCAGAGAGAGGAGAAGUCCUCAGGUGGGACGGCUGCCAACUGUUAUAAAAAGCAUAGGCUGGUGGUUUUGAAGGGGGAGGAUUCUAAGAUUGUCUUUGUAGGGAGAGGAAGGAAGCAUGGCAAAGUAGAGUAAGAGAUCUGAGACGAUAUACCAGUAGGGAUUUUCUUACCAGGGAGGAGCGUUUCCAGGUACAUUUUCUGUAGACCCUUCCUUCAUUCCCGUUAUCUUCUUGUUAUGUAUUGAUCUUCGCGAGAUUUUGAGUUUUGUUUGGAUGCUUGGGUGUAGAAUGACAGAGGUUAUAUGUUUGUUUGCAUUGGUACUUGAUUGCUUCUAUAGAUGUUGUUGAUUUCUUCCUUUGGAGUUCUCUAAUUUUGGUUUAGGGCUGAAAGACUCUAUUUUUUUAUUUAUUGUGCAUUACAUGAGAACUGUGGCUGUAUUUGUUUCUUGGAAUCUGCUCGUACUCCCCUCACCAACCUUAGCCCAUGGAAUAAAAUAUGAAAUGUGACUUCCAUUGGUUCUUCCUUUUUUUGUUUAUUUUUUUCGUGCUCCGUUUGUAGUCUUCUUUUAUUUUAUGUGGAUAUUUCGAGUAUUUCCAGCCAUGUCUACGUCACUGAUCAAUGGCGCUAGAGAAUGGCUUCUUGAUGCUGUCAAAACUCGAUAUCCAAAUUUGGAAGAAGAAAGUAGGUUCAGGGGUUUCUCAUACAACUUCUAUUCCAGGAGGAAGAUUGUUUGGCACCGGUCGAAGUAUCUUUUAUUAGAGAACAAAGGAAGCAGAACAAGGGUGGAAGAAUAGGGGAGAGGUAAAGCAUGGAUAGUUUUGCCAAUUUUUUUGGAGAAGUUUUGCCAACAGUGAGAUUGAUCGGUUUUGGUGUCCAUGAAGGCAUCAGCAUGAGUUUUGGUGCAUUCUGGAAUGCAACAUGGGAAUUUGAUCUGUCACAAGUUUUCUAGAAAUUGUAGAGCUCAAAUUAAAGGCCGCCACGGUGAACAAGUUCGUUAUGAUGUUUAAUUUGGUACUCAUUUUCCUUGAAUUCAGAGUGGCAAGAUAGAAGAAAACAUAUCACUUGGUAAGGGAAUGGAUAAAGAAAGCUGUGGAAGGGUGAUUACUACUCAAAAAGUGCUAUUUGAUAGCUUAUAAUUAAUCCUUCUAAACACUCUUGAGUAGUAAUUAUUACCUUUUAACUCAAUUGACAUGUUAAGGACCCUUGAAAGCAAUUUUAAUCACUUUGUGUAAGUUUUGGUGUUUUUGUUAGUAAUUGGAUCACCAAAGCAAUUCAAGAUUGAGGAGAGUUAUGAGGAAUCUUGGGCAAAGCUUGGAAGUCAUUUGCCAAGAGUAAAUCCGGAUUGCAAGGAGAAAAAGUAAAGAGAAUCUGCCAUGAAGCAUAUUCUUGAUGACAGUCGUAGCAGCCACUUUUGGAGCACUUUCUGAAGUCCAAUUGAUGCAUGCUAUAUACCAUUUCAAAGCUCAGGAAGUCAACAAUAUAAUGCUUCAAAUGGUGCACAAUUCGGAGUUGAAACGAAUAAGUUGCAGCCAUUGCAAGCCAAUCACUCCAAGCUGAAGAAAGCAUUUUCCAAAGUGUUGCGAAAUCACCCUUUUGCUGCGAAGUGAUUCCGCAGCCUUUUUGUACAGUAGGGUGUAUUUCCUUCUGAAGUUGCCCGAUAUAUGCCGCGAGAGGGAAGCUAGGAACCUCAAGGUGGAAGCCAUCUUCGCAGCCCUGCGAAGAUAGCAUGUUGUUGCGAAAUGAUUUCGCAGCCCUUCUUGAGUGUCUGCGAAAUCUCGCAGACACCAUUUUCUCUUGCGAAAUGGUUCCUGGAGCAUCCCGAUAUUUGCUACCGACAUUGGGAGAUAUUUUACAUCAGAUUUUUGUUAUCUAAAUCCCAAAAUACUCCUUGUAAGCCACCAAUUACAAGAUUCCUUAGCUUUUAAGUUAGUAAAAAGAGAAAAUAUCUAUGUAAUAAUUAGUUUUAUAUUAUGUUCAUAUAAGUACCUCUCGGGAGCCUGUUCUCAGGGAGGAGACCCUUUGUAAAGUUUUGGAAAAGCAAGUAAAGUUCAGGCCCUUUGUUUUGCCUUACCUUCUCACUUUGUAUUAUUUAUUUCUUACUAAGUUAUGCACUCUCUGAGGAAUUUUCCCCAGAGAAUGAGUAACUAAACCUUUAGUUCCUUGGAGCUAAGGUUGCCGGGGAAGGUUCCAAGUGCAAGAAUGCAAAGCUUUGUGGUUUCAGCCAUGAAUGAAGAGGAAAUGAAAUCCUUUAGUGAUUUCUAUGUUUUUAGUUAACUUAAAACACCUUAGAGUCACCUGGGCCAACACUUGGUAAGGCAAGUGAUCUCCAACCAUGAAGAUGCACUAGUUUACCCCUUGCGAGCCUCUGGGAGGUGUCUUGAAGGUAGGAUUUUCUAGAAUUGCCAACACUUGGUAAGCUUUUGGACUCCAAAGAGACAUCCAUUAGUUAUCUCUUGCGAGCUUUUGAAGGGAAGCCAAGGUUUAAGAUCAUCUUGAAUGGUAAGUGCUAGUGAGAGGCUCGAACCGUUGCAAGUUGCAUCAGUGAGAGAAUUAAAGCUGAAAUCUAAUUAAAGGAUGUACAUGUACAAUACCGGUUAGAGAAUUGACUAUAUGUUGAUUCUCUCACGCGAGGAAAUGAACCAACUGACCUGAGCUAUGUCUUUUGCAUGAGGAAUCUCCCCAGUGAACCUGACUCUCCAAGGAAUGUUUUUCUUCCUAAGUAAUUCCCAUUACUUGUUUUGUAGUUAGUUUAAAUCUAAAUCUUUACCAAUCAAAGUUUUUGUUUUAUUUCUUGAGCUAACCUUGAAAUGAAAAAGUACCCAUUCACUUUGAAUUGGUAUCAUUUGUAACUUGGAAACCCUUCCCAGUGAACGAUCCUAGAGCCGAUAUACUAUAGUAGCUUUUUCUUUGCUACCCUAGUAUAUGGUGUUAUAGGUUAUAAAUUUUGUUGAUUACUCCCUCAUCCAAGGAGCACCAACUGGACAUGAAUCAGCUGGCACACCGACUGGGCACGAAUCAAAGGGUCCUUAAUACAUGUUCCUCAAAAAUGACCUGAAGGUUUUCUCAUCCAGUGACCAGAUAGUUAUGGAUGGUCUGAUUCUGAGUUUAGAUUGUUGCUCCUACUGAUCUUAAAAAAGUAUAUCGACUGCAAAACAUAGUCGGCAUGGUCUGCGAUCUUGAAGAACCUCCAAGUAAGCAAAAUGACAGGGGGAUCUACUGGGUCUGAUAGUUGAUGAUAGUUUACAGGGUCUGCCGCAAUUUCCAAAGGCCAAGUUGUCGUUUGUUUUCUUAUUAAUUCAGGGUUGUUGUUCAUCUUUCAUUGAUCCAGGCUCAUGGAAUCCUACAGCAUAUGUUGGUCUUGAUUUUCAGCAAAGACUAUCAUAGUCCUCUUCAAUGCCAUGCCUGCCAUGGCAUCUCAUACUCAUUGGAUAAACAAAUAUAUCAUACUGAGAUCAGAGUGACAAGAGUUAAGGUCUAUGAUAUGGAUAUAAGACAUCAAAUCCUUAUGAUGAUCCUUUACUUGCUACCUUGUCAUUGGAAUUUGGUAAUGCAGGAAAGAUUGGAGUGGCUAGAAUACUCCCUUCUUCAAAGGCCCUCGCAUUUGUUCUUAAUGGCCUCGGUGCCAUUUGUCUCAAGGGCUUAAAGGAAGUGAAAGAAACUUUAGUAUCGUGAUCCUUUGUGAACAAUGAAUCAGAUUUUUGCUCCAUUGGUUAAUGUUGCGGAAAAGCUUCUGCUGUAUUUUCAUUAAGGAGUACUGGUGUUGGCAUAACUAUCGAAAUUGUCGAUAGAAUUGCUUCAACAUGGGAUGAAAAUGUGGGGAGCUUUGGAUAGGAAAGAAAUAGGAAAUUACAAAGGUUGUCUUAUGGAAACAAUGUCGUCAUGGUUGAUUUGCAUUAGUUUAUUACCACUAGUUUUAAAACAUCGAAAUCCUGUGUUUGGUGGGCCACCCAUCCUUUUUGUUUACUUUUGUUAAUUCACUUGCUUCUGGACUCAUUAUCAGUGGUGAUGAAGAUUGUUUUACCAAGACCUGGAAAGAUGUAGUUCGUGUUAAAGCAUAGAGCAUCCUGGUUGUCUUUGGGAUGUUCAAUUCUGCAGAAUGUUAUACAGCAUGCAGCAAAAAUCCCAUGAGCCCAAUUCAGAUUCAAUAGCAUCUUUUGAUAUUAGAUGCCCUCCCACAAUCAGCUCGUUCAAUGACCCAAUUCGCAACAGGUGUCAUAGCUCUGAAAGUUCAUAGUCGAUUUCAGAAAGCAUUAAAGGGCAAUGAUGCGUUUGGUUAGGUAUUUUCUACUAUCCAUGCCUAUGGAAGAAGUUUAUCUCUUAAAAUGGUUACUACAAUAUCUCGCCAGAAUAAGGAGUUGCCAUGGAAAUUUUGUAUUUCAUCUAUGAUACCAAAGCAAAUAUUUCAGAUGGGUCCAGCUGGGAAUAAAAAAUUAAUGGCAAUCUCUAAUGAUAAUCGCGGACAAUCGCAGACAAUCACAGACUUGUUCAUGAAAAAUCACAUACAUAUAUUGAUUCUUAUGACUCCCAAAGUUUAUGGAGUUGAGCCAAGAAAGGAAGGUGCCAACGAAUCAAGGCGGAGCAUAAUUGGGUCCCUAACUCUGAUGUUGCUACUAGGAAUGAUACUUGGAUUCAAUGCAUUACAAAUUAUGGAACUCUUCCUUGUCUUUCGAACUUGUUGUCACAAAAUUACAAGAGAAACAUCAAGAAGGAAGCUUACUAGAACAUAAUCUCAUGGGAAUUAUAGUUGAUAUUCUUCAACAAAAGCCUAAUAAAAGCCACUCUUCUCAUCUCUGUAAGUGAGAAAACUACAGAUUUUUGAUGUCCAAAGUUGUCAACUGAUCGGGAAAGUUCCAGAAGAAGUCUUUAAGUUAACCUAUUUGACUUGCUUAAACACGGCGCAAAGCAGUUUAGAGGAUGUAAUUAAAAUUUUUAUACUCCAGGUUGCAGUAGCGGUUCUGAUAACACUCAAACUCGAAGCAUCAAGGGAUGUGUGAUUACUACCCAAAAAGUGCUAUUUUGCGCUUUUAAUUCAUUAUGUUUUAAGCACUUUUGUGUAGUAGUUCUCCAUUUUUAUUCCAAUUGGCAUGUUAAGGACCUAGCAAUGACUUCUAAUCAUAUUUGUGGCUAGUUUUAGUGUUUUGACAGCUUUUUGGAUCAUUAAGACAAUCCAAGUAAAGGAGAGAAGCAAAGAGGAAAAACAAGCAAAGUGAAGAAAACAGAGGACAACAGCUGCAGUCUUCCUUCGCACUUUUGGAGCACUUCCCGAAGUUCAUUUUCUACAUGCUAUAUACCAUUUCAAAGAUCAGGAAGUCAAGAAUCCAACGCUUUAAACCGUGUAUGAUUUGGAGCUGAAAUGAGGAAGAUAUGGCCUUCGGAAGACAACUGCUCUAGGCUUGUGCGAAAUUCGCACAACACCUUGAAAUUCGCACAACACCUUCAGGUUGUGCGAAAUUCGCACAACACCUUGAAAAUUCGCACAGCAGCCCAUGCGUGGUGCGAAAUCUCCUCUGUUUUUCCGACUCCACACGAGAUCUUUUCUUUUAGAUAUUUUUGUAUAAAUUUCCAUUCUUCUCCUUGUAAUCCACCAACCAUAAGAUUUCUUAGCUAGGAAGGUUGGAAAAACUUCUCUAUAUAUAUUCCCUUGCAUCCGUUGUAAUAAAGAGAAAAAUAUAGAUAUAGAAGUAUGUAAAAUAGAUCAAUAUAUAGAAUAUACAGAGCCUUGCUCUAUUUUUCCUUCUCUUUCAUUUUCAUUUUCUUGCUAGCCAAACAUCCUCUGAGGAUGUUUUCCCAGAGGAUGAGAGGCUAAACCUUUGGUUUCUUGGAGUGAAGGAAGCUAGGUGAAAAGUCCAGAUGCUAAAGUGGAAAACUCUCGUGCGUUACAUACAGGUAGUUGGAGUUCAUAAAUGGCUUUUAAAUCUAAAGUUUUGCUUUAAAUCCCUUAGAAUCACUUUGAAUGGCCAAUACAUGGUAAGCUUCAGGUCUCUGUAGAUGCUUAUUGCUAGAUCCAUAUCAGUCCAUUAGUUAUCAUGUACGAGCCAUUGGAAAGUGAUUCAAGGUGAAGACCCAUAGUGUCUAAAGCCAUUAAUGGAACUUGACUACCAUUUCUAUUGACUUUUUAUGGAUUAAAUCUUCAUUGUUAAACCUACAUCGGUUUGGGAAAUAACUAUAGGUUAAAUCCCCAAUGCGAGGAGAGAAAUCAGGAAUUUCCCACUUUACAGUUGGCACCUGAUCCUAGUAACCUGAAAUCCUAAGAAACACCUUUCUUUCUAAUUUCUUUCUAGUUAAUUUUAGUUACUUUAUGUUAGGUUAGCUUAAUACCAUUCGUUUUCAUUCAAAGAUUAUGUUUUCUUUUAAAGCUAACCUUGAAACGAAAAGGCACCAAUUUAGUUUUGAAUUAAUAUCACUGGUAGAGUGAAAACCCAUCCCAGAGUUCGACCCUAGAGCCACUAUACUAUAGUAGCUUUGCUACGCUAGUAUGAGGUCAUAGGUUUUAUAAAUGUUUUUGAUUAAAAGACCCGACUGGAUCAAACGAAUCAAUGUGACAGAAUUGCUAGUAAUGGAGAGAUCUUGGAAGGCAUUAGAGAUAUAUUGAAAAGAUCAAUUUCUGCCACCUUGAUUAAAUAUCCAAACAGUGAAUGGCUAAAUGUGUUUUAAGAAAAUAUUAAGAAGAAAUUCGAUAUAGUAAUAAGUUUAUUCUCUUAUUCAGACCAAGGGCUUGCUCAUAUGAUACAACCAACCAAAUCUCACUAGUUUUCAGAUGUCAUUGAGAGUGGAGUUCAAGUCAAAGUGUUGGAGUGCAAUCAAAUCUCUCGUAGGCCACUUUGCAUUCUCUUCUUCACUCAGAUAAAAUUUCCUAUUGGCACAAUCGGUGCACCUGGUUGGGUGACUUUCUCGCUAUAGAAAUUAGUGAGGCAUUCAGAGUCUUUAUACUUUUGUACAUGAGUUAUAUGAUGGGUAGUUGGUGAUAAAUUUUUGUUUUUUUUUUUAAAAAGUCUUCUACCCACUAUUUUCUAAACUGGAGGUAGUGUUCCAAUGGCAUCAGAUUGGGUUUUCCUAACUUUAUAGGAUUCAAUAACCCAUGUAGAGUCACAACUUUUUAAGCAAUCUGCAGGGGUAAACUGAUCACUGAAAUCAGGCACAACAAAGGACUCUAUUUCCAUUCUCAGGAAAGCUUUGCCAGUCAUAGCGAAACUGAAUGUUCUUAGAUAUGAUACCAUCCACGUCACUAAAAUUGAGGCAAACAUCAAAUGUGACACUUUCAUUCCUGUUCUUAGCACUUCAAUAUUUCAUCCAUCUAGAAAAGAUGAGACUCUAUAGAAAGAGAUGAUGAUUGCAAUAACCCUAAAGGUGAUGAUGAUGGUUCCAAGUGUAAAGAAGAGAGCAUGUGAAGAACCUGUAGAUUGCCGAAUGUUUCCAAGAUUGCUCAUAGAUAUAUUUCAAAUUUUCAAGAAUUCCUUCAACACUGCCAAGCCUGCCAAGAAGUAGAAGGAAUUGGAGCAACUUCAGACUCAUGCGCAGAAUGAACACCUGCAAUUUAAUCAAACUAAGAUGACUCCCCAAAACUUGCAAAAUUUACACUCUCAAUUGCAGUAAGAACAAAAAGUUCUACUGUUAGAUCUGAAAUUGGACCAUAAAGAUUGAAACAGGUGGUGGUGUCUAAGCUUGAUUUAGAGAAUGAAGCAGAGUGGUCCACCAGACACCUUUUCGAUAACCAGUAGAUUUCAAAGCUCCAAACAGGAGUCAAUUCUUAAAACCGCAUUAAUUGAGAUUGAUGUUCCUCUUAAGUCGAUAAAGGCAAAAGUAUCAUCUUCAGUUUUAUAUGGUGGAAAAGAAAAUAGAAAGACAAAAUAAAGCGUCAAUGUUUCAUAAUUACAUAUUAGAGAUUUCAGAAUAAAGUCUUUGCUAGAACUUGAAAUGGUUGAAGUCAUGACACUGUUGUUAUUAUUGGCAUCAACAAGUGAGAAGUUGGAGAUGAAAUAGCCAUUUGUAAAUUGGAAAACUGCAUCAAGUUUCAGUUUUGCACAUGCAAAUGGUUAAAGGAAGUAAGCCAAGUUACAACCACUGGUAGUAAGAUCUCUGAACGUGAGUCUUUUGAGCUACAACUUAAGACAUCUCGCAAAGCUAGCAAUGUCAAGAAAGUAGUCAAUUUCUAUCAUCAAGUUGGUUUAAAUGGUGAAACCAACAACGCUAAACGAAGAUGAGAGCCCUCUUCGAACGUAACAGUAUCCCGAAUCAGAAAUUGACACCCUUGCCUUAGCUACAUCUUUGAAUAAUGGAAAUGGGCCAUUAGUGAACUCCCUCAUACAGGCUACAGAUGAUUGGUUAGGAUAACUUAAGAGGUAAAGGAUGAAGCUCAUUGUGAAACCAAGGUUUGGUUAAUCUUGAUUUUGAUGAUAACAAAACAAGGUUUAGAACUAAUGAUUAUAUUUCAAGUGUGAUUAGGCAAGAUGAUUUCCAAAGUGGCAAUCACAAAGACAAAUCAAGCAAAGGAGAAAUCAUGAAGAAGAAGACCACCUCAAAGAGAAGUGUUUUUCAAGACCCAAGCUUCAUAAGAUCUCUUUGUAAGGUUGUUCGUGCACUAGGAUUUUCAUGCAUUACAUUUUUUACUUAUGCACCAAAAUCAUCCAAGAGUUAUUUUGUUUUAAAUAUCUUAAGAAUGGGAUGAUUUCAUGUUUUCAACUAAAACCUUGUGUUAAAUAUUUUUCAAACUUGUUUUAAAAGGUUUUAAGUUGAAAAAGGUUGGGCGUUGAGCUAAAAAAUGGCUCAACCAGUUCAACCGGUUGAGGAACCGAUCAACCGAUUGUGCUCGUCCGAUCAAGUACCGGUCGAGGGAGGCCAAAAAGUUUCAAAAGGUAAAUCUCGGAGUGUGUACAUCGCGACUCAUCUAAAAGCAAAUCUCAAAGUGCACAAAAAUAUUGCUCAUCUAGAUAACCCAAUCUGCAAGACAAUGGCAAAAACAUUCUAUCUCAUGAGCGUCCAACUAAAGGAUCCACCCAUGCUCCUCGGGUAAAACCUAAUGUGAUCCAUCUCUAUCUCAACAAAUCCAUGUAAGGAGGUCCUUAUACGGUCAAUCGUCGGAAGCCCCAAACGAAUACUCAAUCUAAAACCAAGCUGGUCGCUAUCUCAAUCUUAAGGGUACUCAAAGAAAAUGGGAAAUAUGCCCCAAUAUGAGAUAUGAUGUCAAAGUCAUGAGGUAAAAAACCAACAAUGAUCAUCCAUCUAUGUACCAUUGUCUGAACACAAUUUCAUCAAGGAGAGAAGAAUAUGCCCCAGUAUGGAUAUCUGAUGUCAAAGUCACGAGGUAAACAAACAAUAAUGAUCAUCUAUCUAUAUAUCGCUGCCCGAACACAAUCUCAUCAAGGUGAAGGGAAUAUGUCUCAAUAUGGACAUCUGAUGUAUAAUAAAGAAUCUGCUAGUAUCAAUCAAACAUCUUUAUAACCAUAAAUAAAGAUAACCAUACCACCCAACAACAACUAGGAACCUCAGAGAAAAAAGGGAGAAAUAUGCCCCAGUAUGGAUAUUUGAUGCACAAUUAGAAGGGUGAAUCCAAUAUCAUCAAUGACCUGUCUCUAAACUAAAAAAUCCAUCAAACAUCAAUAUGCUAAGCAAGAGAGAGAAACCAAAUGCUUCCAAAAGCAUCUUCCAUGAGAGAAAACAUAGUAACGACUAUACUUCAACCAAUCUGCAAAAGUCUAUCCAAGUGAAGACUGUUAAAGAUAAUGUUUAAUCUCAUGGCCUCAAGGUGGUCUUAAGACACAGAAUGUAAUGUAGGCCAGGGUGAAAAGGCAAAGAAACAAAAGAAAACUAGGCUCAAAUACCCAAUGAUCAAACCCAUACCCUCGUGUAUAGUGUACAACGCAUAGGAGACUCUCAUAAGCAUGUGAACUUAAGAGGAGUCAAUGGUAACAUCGAUGGUGAAACGAAAAAGGAAAAGAAGUGAUCACGCCAUCAAUGGAUCAUGUAAAUGAUGUGAAGAAAGGUGUCGAAUCAGGAAGGUGUAUAGGUGUUGGAAUGGGACGAAAAAGGGAAUAAAAAGUAGGAAAAAAACGAUGGGAAAUCAAAUGAAGGUAGUGAGAGAAUAAAAAAAAGGAAUGAUGAGCAACACAUAUCAAUACAACAAAGAUAAAUCAUAUCACCCAUAAUGGAGUAGUAGAGAAGACACUAAUUCGGAGACCUUAGUGAAAGGUUACUCAACUCUCAUACCUAUAAAGUACAACAACUUUGAUCCAAGAAACAAAAGGAUCUCACAAAACUCAAAACUCUCAUGAAAAACUCUCAUCCCUCCAAUUGCAUAACGAAAGUGACUUAAGGAUCGAAAAGUCCUUGUGGAAAACUCGCACAAGCCCUCAAUGAUAAACCCAAUAAACAACCUCAAAUAACAACACAUGCUCAAUAAAGUAGGAUAUCAAGUACAAACAUGUCAUUGCGCCAUUUUUUUUAAAUUUUUUUAUUUUCUUGUAAUGAAUGCGCAUACCCUAGUCAUCAGUAAAUCAUACUCCAAUGAGAAACUACAAGGAAUGAAUAAACUCUCUCAAAUCACUGAUGAGUACAUGAAACCCCCAUCCCAUGAGACAACCUUUCAAGCUAAAAUUUUCGAAUCAAUGUCAAAUGAUGGAAUGAAAGGAGUGGUGUGACUAUCCUCUAUGCAUCAAUAUGUGAAGAAUCAUCAUUCCAAGUGAAGGAAAUAUGAAAUAUAGCAACCAAUGAUAAAAACCAGGAUUGAGAUGAAAAUGUGAAAAUAAUGGAAUGUAAUAGACAGGGUGGUGAGGUGAUAAUAGCAAGGAUGAGGAAGAUAAGCCUAUAAGUCUAAAGCUCAUGAGACUUUCCUAGCAAAGUGUAACUAUACAUCAAAGUGCCUUAACCCGGGUAUAGAAAUGAUAAGUAGGGCUACAGAAAAGAAAAGGUUAUAGUAUACCACAUGAGGCUCAAUGGGCUAGCAACGGUCUAAUAUAUCAAUAAAGGUGAUAAGGUGUUAGGCUAAUCGAAAUGAUGACCACCCAUCUUGUGACCAUAAUCUCAAACGUAAUACUUCUUCAAUUGAUCCACAUUGGUAGGCUCUGAAAACUGGUUUCCAUCUAAGUCGAUCAACCAUGCGGCCCCUUCUGGAGUCAAAUCUCGAAUAACAUAAGGCCCACUCUAACUAGGUCUGAACUUACCUCUAGGGUCUCCAACCAAACCUCUGAGAAUCCUCAAAACCAAAUCCAGUUUCUGUAAUGGUCUAGGCUUGACCCGUUUCCUAAAGGCACGAGCCAUCUUUCUCUGAUAGGCUUGAACAUGAUCCGCUACUCUCAAUUUCCUCUCAUCUAAAAGGUUAAGUUAAUCAAAUCGAGCCUAGGCCCACUAUGUCUCAGAAAUAUCUUGCUCAAGAGCUACUCUCAAUGAACCCAUCUCCUUCUCGAUUGGCAAAACAACCUUCAUACCGUACACCAAAGAGUAAGGUGUAGCUCCUGUAGAGGUGCAAAAAGAAGCACGAUAUGCUCACAAUACAAAAAGGAGUUUCUCUGACUAAUCUUGAGAAGUCUCAACCAUCUUCCUCAAGAUUCUCUUAAUGUUCUUAUUUGUAGCCUCUAUUGCCCCAUUAGUUUGUGGCUUGUAUGCAAAUGAUCUGUGAUGUUGGAUGCCAUACCUCUGUAAGAAAGUGUCAACCUCAGCUUGGAAGUGUACCCCUCUAUUUGAAAUUAACUCAUGAGAAACCCCAUAGCGGCAAUUGAUGUGUGACUUCAUGAAACUUGCAACUCUAGUAGAUGUUAACCUCGCAUAUGAUGCGGUUUCCACCUACUUGGUGAAAUAAUCUAUGGCGACUAGGAUGGACUCAUGACCACUGGAAGAUUUUGGUGAAAUCUUCCUAAUAAUAUUAAUACCCCAUACUGAAAAUAGCCAUGGUGAGGUCAAAGCGUGCAACUCCGAUGGCGAUGCAUGAAUGAGAUCACCAUGAAUCUGAAACUUUGGGUAUUUCUGAACAAAUCGACAACAAUCUGUCUCCAUAGUCAACUAGAAAUAACCUAUCCUCAUAAUCAUAUGGACUAGCAUGUGUCCUCCCAUGUGUGUACUUCAAACUCCUGUGUGAACCUCUCUCAUCAUACGGUCUGUGGAAUCUCGAUCUAAACACAAUAGAAGCAUACCAUUAGCUGAUCGCUUAUAUCAGGUAUCUCCACAAAUCACAAAUCUAGUGGCUAACUGCCUUAGUCCUCUUCGAUCCUUGGCUGUGGCUAACUCAGGGUAUGUGUUAGAUCUGAGAAACUGAUAAAUGUCAUGAUACCAAGGUAGAUCAUCUUGGACCUCUGUUUCUCCAAUCAAACAACAGUAGGUAGGUGCAUAUCUCAACUCAAUCAGCAAUGGACAUAUGACCACAUCAAUUGGAAUGUCUACAAAGAAGCUAGGGUAGCUAAAGCGUCAGCAAACCGAUUCUACGCUCUAGGCAGAUGAACAUAUCUCAAGUCAUCAAACUUCCCAACCAGUAACUCCAAAUAAGCUUGAUACAACCUAAGCUUUACAUCCCUAGUCUUCCAAUCUCCAUGAAUCUGUCUAAGUACUAGAUUAGAGUCACCAAAUAUCUCCAUCUGUCUAAUGCCAAGCUCUAGUGCAGUCUUUAAACUAAUGAUACAAGCCUCAUAUUCAACAAUGUUGUUUAUGGCUAGAUGUCGAUCUAAAAAUGCUAAAUGAACGAACCUCGAAAUAAAAUAACCUUGAUGGAAUACCAAUAGAACACCUAUCCCAUACCUUGAUUGAUUGGCUGCACCAUCGAAGUACAUGCACCAUCUUAAUAAGCUAGUCAUAGCAACAAACUCUUCAUCUAGAAAAUCAUCAUCAGCUAGUCUAUCCUUAGAUGUCAGUAGUGAGGCUAAGUGAUCGAUGACAAUACUUCCCUUAAUAGACUUUUGAGAAACAUAUUGAAUAUCGAACUCUGUCAAAAGUACAAGCCAUCUCAUCAGUCUACCAGUCAACGCAGGUCUAUCAAAUAAGUCUUUCAAUGGAUCUAAGCGGGAUAUCAAGUGCACUGAAUACUCUAUCAUGUAAUGCCUCAAUCUCCUGAUAGCCCAAACUAGUGCUAAGCAAAGGCGCUCAAUCAUAACGUAUCUCAUCUCAUACUCCAGCAUCCUCUUACUUAGAUAGUAAAUAGCUUGCUCCUUUCCUGAGUCAUCAAGCUAGGCGAACAUACAUCCUAAGGCCAUGCCUGAAACUGAUAAAUAUAGAAGAAGCGGAUGUCCCGACAUGGGAGGCACUAAAACAGGAGGAGAAAGCAAAUACUCGUUAGCCCUCUCAAACGUAGCUGACAAUCAUUAUUCCAAACUGUAGGUUGGUUCUUCCUCAAAAGACGAAAAAUGGGCUCACAUAUGUUUGUCAAUCUGGCUAUGAAUCGAUUAAUGUACUGUAACCUGCUUAGAAAACCUUUGAUCUCUUUCUCAGUCCUCGACAUAGGGAUGUCAAGUAUGGCUCUGAUUUUAUCUGGGUCAACCUCUAUGCCUUGCUCACUGACCAUAUGCCCCAACAAUUUCCCAUAAGUCACUUUAAAGGUGUACUUCUUAGGAUUCAACCUCAAUCUGAAUUUCUGAAUCCUCUCAAAGAAUCUUUCUAGAGCUGCUAGGUGAUCUGCUCUGCCUUGGGAUUUCACAAUCAUAUCAUCCACAUAAACUUCAACAUCCCUAUGCAUCAUGUCAUGAAACAAAGUAGUGGCGACCCUUUGAUAAGUGGCUCCUGCAUUCUUCAACCCAAAUGGCAUAACCCUGUAACAGUAGGCACCCCACUUGGUAAUGAAGGUUGUCUUCUCCAUAUCCUCUAGAGCCAUCAAAAUCUGGUUAUAUCCUGAAAACCCAUCCAUGAAAGACAACAUCGAAUGGCUUACGGUGCUAUCGACCAACAAAUCAAUAUGUGGGAGGACAAAGUCAUUUUUAGGGCUGACUUUAUUAAGGUCUUUGAAGUCAACACAAGCUCUAACUUUGCCAUCCUCUUUGGGAAUAGGGACGACGUUAGCCAACUACUUUGGAUACUCAACCACUAAUAAAAUCCAACACUGAGCUACUUCUAAAUCUCGUUUUUCACCUACAGACUCCAGCAUGGGUAUAAACGCCUCAAUUUCUGCUUAACCGGUCUGACAUAUGGCAGGAUAGGCAAGUGGUGCUAGACUAUAGAGGGAUUGAGACCAGGCAUGUCCUUAUAAGACCAUGUAAAGACAUCCAAGUAUGACCUGUGUAGAUAAAUAAGUCUAUCCCUCUCAUCUGUAGAUAGGGGUGAACCAAUCUUCAGCUCUCUAGGCUAAUCCUUUGUGCCAAAAUCAACAAUCUCAACAUCCCGUGUAGCAGGUGAAACUUUCUCAUCUAUGGGAUCUGAGUCAUGAUCAAAAGAGUCUCUGUUUGAAUAGGAUUGUGCAAUCUCAUCAUCUAUAUCAAAUAUCUGUGGAGUGAGUGAAUGGGGUACAAAUAUAAAGAUACUAUCACAAGAGACGGGCGAAUACUUAAAAAUACUCAAAUCCAUAAAUGAAGCAAUAGAAACAUCGUCAAAGUGGGAGACAAAUCCCGAUAAAACAUCAGAGGAAAAAAGUGGGUCCACAAGGUUGGACGCUCUCUCAAUUGGGCUAACAGUGCCCUCAAACAAACUACUAUCAUCCUCUAAAAGCUAUGGAAUAGAAAUAGUUUGGGUCUCCUUAACAACCUCGGUGGUAGACACCCUAAACAUAUCAAGUGGUGAAAUAGGCUAAAGCUGAACGAUGCUGGUAAUUUGACUUAUGGUCAUCAUGUCCAUCUCAUCUUGGUACUCAUCAUGGGGAACAACUCCAUCAAUCAUCUCAAUGGGAUCAACAACCACUCCAUCAUCAAUGACCUCAUCUGGGAAGCAUAGAGACAACAAACUAGCUUGAUUUGGAGACGUAGGAGUAAUCGCCAUAGAAAUAGAAGUGCUAGGAACCCCAUCACUCAAUUGUAACUGGUAAAAUAGAUGCUGAAGCUCAAUUUCUCUAUCUGUAUGAACCACACUAUAAAUCUCCUUUAGACGAGGUUGAAUCUUUGAUCCUCUGAAAAAGUAGUCGGCUAAACUCAUCCUAUAAGGUCAAAUAGGAUAAUCAAAUGGUGUGUGAGACAAUCGGGCCCUCACUCUCUCUUUACCUAGUCACGCCAUGUAUCGGUAAUCGGCCUUAGUAGGAGUGAACCCUAGUCCAAUUAUCGUAUCAUGGUCAAUGGCAGCUAUAAACUCACUGGGUCCCUAUUGACGUAGUCCUAACCCUAUGCUAGGUAGAAAAAACAUACUCCUCAUCAUAUCAAGAACCACUGUACUGCUGUGCUAAUCAAAUGACAUAGCUACAAAAUCUUUGCAAAAAUCCUCAAUCUCAAGAGUCUGUAUCUCAUCAAAAGUAAACCCAGUAAAAAAUAGGUCAUCCUCACUGUGGCUGAUCUGAAGUAUUGGCUCGGAAGAGACAAACAUAUUUUUGGUAAAUGGUACCAUGAUGACCUGCCCAUCAUGAUUGAACUUCACCUUCUAAUGAAGGGAAGAAGAAAUAACUCUCUCUUAGUGCUAUCAUACGCUCUGAUUGUCUGAGUAGAAGGAUUAAAAUUUGAAUGUGCGAAAUCGAGGGCUAUAACAGUGGCUAAAUGGCAGACAUUCAGGGUUGAGCCAUUGUCCAACAUAACAGAUGGAACUAUGUGGCUUGAACAACCAACUGAAAUAUAUAGAGGACGUAUGUGGUCUAAACCCCUAGGUGGAAAAUCAUCAUCUGAAAACACAAUGCAAGUGGUUUUGCCAGAUGUCAUCAUAUGAAUCAACCCCUUUGGAGUGGUGAUAGUCUCUCCCUUGAUCUGACUUCAGGCUCGAAUCAAAGCAUCUCUAUGAGUACUAGAUGAUGAUAAUAAACUCCAAAUAGAAAUACGAGACUGGGAGCUCUGUAACUAUCUCAAAACCUCAUCAUCCUUUCUCCUAACCUCCUCACGAGAAGUUGCAUUCUCAAAUGGCCUGAUUGCUGCUGGUGGUGGUUGAGCUAUCCUCCCACUAGGAGUCACAAUCUGUAUGUCUCUCCCAUUUGAAUCAUCAUCCUCUAGCCAUAAAGUGAACGAGACAAAAGUAUCUUAGCGUUUGAUAACCAAAGAUGUAGAAUGAGUCAACUGGAACGGUGCCCCAUCUGGGAUCAAACUGAACGAUGUGGGAACCUGAGGACCCAAUGAAACCCCAUCAACCCCAUCAACCAUGGGAACGAAUCUACAGGGCUAUCACCUUCUUUGGCCAGAUCUUUCAACCUUUUCACAAUUACAGUUCACUGCGCCCUUUACUAAUAGAAUAUCUAGUAAAGGGGCUUGAAAGCUUACCUUAUUAUUCGAAUUUUAGAAAGGUUUGGAACCGGAGUUUUCGCCCCAACCGUUGUUAGGGGGUCGUUAGACCGUAGCUUGCUACUGAAAAACGUAAUAGGCUAGCGCGGCUCGCUUCGCUCUUCAAGCUCCGCCCCCCUUACUCACCUCUGAAUCUAUAAAAAAAGCCCUUUCCCAUUCUUAUAAUAAUAAGGUAAGCUUUGAAGCCGUAGCUUGCUGGUUUUUCCAUCAUCCAAUCCACAUCGAAUGAAACCUGGCGAAAAAGAAGUGAACACUUUGCUGAGGAUUCGUGUUUGUUUUUCUUCAAAGCCCCAAUCCGCUCUCGCUCGCCGCUACUAACGGGGUCUCGGUUGAUUUCCCUUCCUUUAGCUACUCAGAUGUUUCAGUUCGCUAAGUUUGAAAAGUCUAAAGAGCGUAGACUAGCCACGGAGCUUGGAUACGGUUUCCCGAUCGGAGAUCCAUGGAUCACAGACGGUAUCUCCCCAUGGCUUUUCGCCUCUGAAAGCGUCCUUCCUUCUCAAUGCCCGGGCCUCAUAAUUGUCAUGCAAAACAAUCAGCCCGGGUAAUCUAUCAUCCCAACAUAUGUAUACUGUCAUCCUCUAUAAGGUCUAUGUGUUGGAUAUCUCCUAGAGGUUGAGACAUUACAUGUGUAGAAUGGGCAGGAAGAGGGUUAGUGGUUACACUUGGCUGCCCCAAGUUAACCAAACCUUGGUCUAUCAAAUCCUGAAUAGCAUGUCUUAGAGCGUUGUAGUGGUCCGUGUCAUGCCCUAGUCCCUGAUGAUAAGAAUAGUGUAAGUCUAAUUUGAAGUGAGGCGACACUAGCUGAGGUAUUGGCUUAGGUGCCAAUGGAGUCAAUAACCCACCCUCUAUGAGCUUUUGAAAAGUUUAACUCAAAGGCUUACCUAAAUGAGCAAACUAACGUGAUAACCUCUACACAUAAGUAGUGGUCUGUGGGGCUCGAGACCGAGUGUAUGGGAUAGGAGGUCUCUCUAUGACAUGUGCAACAAAAAUAGGUUAUGAGACUGGAUGUAGAUAAGUGGGAGUCAUGGGCCUAGAGGGAAUAGGUGACCUAUACUGUACAUGAGGUGAUGGUGGGUAGUAGAAUUUAGAAGUUUGCCUAACUAUCUUCCUAAAGGCUUCUUUUCCUUAGAGUCAGUAGGGGAAGACUCGGGCCAUAGUCCUUUAGCUAUGCCCUCCUCUAUACCAUAUAAAGCCUGUACUAAAGAUCCAAAAUCCGUACAAGGAAAUCCCAUCAAGUGCUUAGCAAACUUAGGUGUAGACCCUCCAUUUUAUCCUACUAGCACAUGUUCUAUUACGUGUUCGUUUUAUACUUUACAAUAAUUCCUUGGUGACCCAUUAGGCACUUUCUUAGGCCCACUUUGGCACCCUAGGCCCAUUUAGAUUCACUUGGCCCAUUAGGUACACUCCUAGGUCACUUGACACAUUUCCGAUCACCUUACGUCACUUAGGCACUUUUCACUUAGGUCACUUAGAUUCUUUUUUUGGGUCUAAAUCCCUAAGAUUGAUUUCUUGAUUGCUUGAUUUUUGAGAUUAGGUGAGUAUUAUGCUUGAUUUGGAUUUUGAUUGCUUGAGAUGAAUUUUUGAUAUUUAAUUGCGUCAAUUUGAUAUUUUGUUUUUUUUUAAAUUUUUUAUUAUGUUUUAGUUUAAUAUUUAGAUUAUUAAUUAUAAGCAUUUGAUAUUUAUUUAUUUUUUGCUUUAUUUAUUCAUUCAUCUAUUUAUUUAUUUUCCGAAAAAUGCAUGUGAUUUGUGAUCUUAUCUUAUUAUUAUUAUUAUUAUUUUGGUAAAUUAAUUUUUUGAAAUGUUUCAAUAUAAUUUUUUUUAAUGAAUAAUUUUUUGGUAAUUUAUUAUUAUUAUUAUUAUUAUUAUUAUUAUUAUUAUUAUUAUUAUUAUUAUUAUUUGUUUAUUUACUUUAUGUUUUUAUUUUUUAUUUUAUUUUAUAUAUGUAAAAAAAAUAAAAAUUGAGAAGCAUGGGAACUGGUGGGCUGCAUGGAAAAGAGGCUGAAUUUUUGAAAAUCGCUGGGUGAAGAAAAUGAUGCUUGGAAAAAAGGGUUAGUGAGGAGUUUCAAGGAGUUUUGCAUAGGAAAAGCACAGAUGAGGUUUGAAGAAAAAGCGGGAUAAAGAGAAAGCAGGAGAAAGAUGAUUCAGGAGAAAACCAGGAAGAGAACAUUCAAAUUUGAUGGGAGAAAACCAAGGAGAGAGCAUUCAAAUUUGAGGGGAGGAAAAAAGACGUUUAGAAAAAUGAGUAACAAGGAGAAGGAAAAUCAGAAGAAGAAAAAUAGAGAACUAUUGGGGAUUUUGAGAGCAAAAAAUAGAGCAAAAGAGAGAGAAUAGCAAAAGGAGGCGGAGCAAAGGAGAAGAAGUUGAGUUGAAGCCAAGCAAUUAUUUGCUUAAGGGGAGCUUUCCAGGUAUGACGAUUGUAGCAUUUUGUUUCUCAUUUUUACACUACUUUACUCUCAUUUUCAAUCGUUUUUCUAAGUAUUGAUUUGCUGAUUGGUGAGGACAUAAGGGGCCAUUCGCUUGCUUUACUAGAUCUACUAUUAUGUACAUGCUCUGUUUUGGGCUUUGAAUUUUGGUAUCUUUGUUUUUUUUUUUUGGUAAAUACCUGAUGCAUAAAUCCCUUCCUAAGUUUGAUAGAUAAAAAUCAUGCUUUUGUUUCAUGUGGAUUCCACCUACUCCUAGCUCCUUAUUAGUAUAUGAAAUAGAGCUAAGAUUCUUUGAUGUUUGGUCAUUUGUUCGUUUAUGCUUUGCUCCUGUUUCUAUUCUUCCUUGUAUUACUUUGUUUUUGGUAUCUCUAGGUGAUGAUACAAUAGCUAUGGUCAUGCAACCAUUGAGAAGUCUUCGUUCCCCAGGUAUCCGUCACCAUUUGGUUGGCAUGUUAGAGAAGUAUUGCAUGGGGCUGACAAGAUAUGGUAAGAAAUUUCUAGCUUCAAAGUGAUAUCUUCGUUUUCUUGCUAAGUACCAGAACUGGUGGAUUGGGGAUCUGAUCACUAACGAGAAUAAUGAGCAUUUUGAGUUGAAUGAGGGUCCUUCGAAAGUCUACAGAUGAUGGCCAAUUGAUUUUGAAGUUGAGGAUAUGGCUGUUAUAAAUCUUCAUAGAUGCAUGGAAGGAAAGCUGAAAUGGGAAGCAAAAUUCAGACCAUGAAGUACAGAAAGCACUUGAUGUAACUGUUAGAAAUAAGUAGAAAGUUUAACCUGGUUCUGCAUUCUUCAUAUAGUUCAUAACACGUUAUCUAAAUGGGAAUACGGGAAUGUAGAAAAGGGUUACCACUAUGGCUAGAAGAUGGGUGGGUAAGCACUCACCAGAAAUCGCCAUUGGGUUUAAUCAAGAAGCAGCAACUUCAAUCAUGGCCAGACUUGCCAUCCAUUGAGCGGAGACGUGUUAUGCUUGAGAUGUCAUCAAAUGGUUGGAUAAUGAAUCGAUUCGUUUUGUUUCCAAGUUUGGGGAUUGUAUACAAGAAGAUCCAUCUUCUUUUUGUCUAUCAACCAACUUCUCUUUGUACCCAUAGUUCACGUACCCAUCAUACCUAUUUCUCUCACUACCCACAGCUCCAUUCACCACCUAACCCUAUAAACACACUUCUUUCACCACCUCUUUCAUUUAAACCCAUUUUCCUAACCCAUCAUUAUGCACUCCCUGGUCAGGCCAGAAACGGAUAUGCCCUUUUCUUACACCUUUAUCCAUCACUAAUACUCCCAUUUAUCAUACCUACUACCAGCAACCGAAACCCAUCACCAUACUCACAUCUCAAUUUUUUCAAUAUCCACUAAAGCCACUUCUCUCUCUACCUUCCAUCACCCAUUCCACCAUUCAUUCCCCACUUGUUUGUUUUUCAUCUUCCCAUGUACAUGAAGUCCCAUGCACACAGUCACCAUCAUCUCACCAUCCUUCUAAUCUUCAUACCCUAACACACCCCUUACCACCUCGCUAUCACUCACCCAUGCACACCUCACCACGGCUCACCCAUGCACCCCAUGGCCGCCAUGCUUACCAUAGCUCACCCAUGUAGCCUAUAUGAAGUCUGCAUGCACCCCAUGGUCACCACCCUCACAGUUCACCCAUGCAGCCCGCACCUCAUCUCAUGCACCCGUGGCCUCCAUAAUACCACCAUGCAGUCCAUGACUACCCUCACAGCUCACCCAUGCAGCCAGUACCUCAUCUCAUGCACCUAUGGCUACCACACCAUCACCUAAAACCCACACAUGCACCUCACAACUCACCUAGAGCCUACACCUCACUUCAUAGCUCACCCAUGCCGCCCAUGGUUCACCCAUGGCCACCACAUGCUCACCCAUGGCUCACCCACAACUCACACCUCACCACACACCUUCCACAGUCCGUAUGCAGCCACCACAACCCACAUGCAGCUCAAGGUCUCCAUACAACCACCAAAUGCAGCCUACAUACAACUUAAAGCCACCACAUACAACUCAAAACCACCCCAUAGUCCAUAUGCAACUCAAGGUCUCCAAAUGGCCACUAAAUGCAGCCCACAUACAGCUUAAAGCCACCCCACAAUCCGCAUGCAGCUCAAGGUCUCCAAACGGCCACCAAAUACAGCCCACAUACAGCUUAAAGCCACCCCAUGGCCCACAUGCAUCUCAAGGUCUCCAAACGGCCACCAAAUGCAACCCACAUAUAGCUUAAAGCCACUCCACAGCUCACAUGCAACUCAAAGUCUCCAAACAACCACCAAAUGCACAUACAACUUAAAGCCAUUCCAUGACUUACCCAUGUAGUGGCCACUUUCUAUUCUUUUGGUUUUUUUCUUCUUAUUUUAAUAUGAAAAAUUUAUCUAUUUAUUUAUUUUAUUUAUUCCUUUUAUUAUUCUCAAAUAACUAUUUAAAAUCCCAUUUUUUUUAAUCUAAUAUUCAAAAUACAAAUUUCAAAUGAUUUUCUAAAUUUUCCAAAUUGAAUCUUUAAAAUUCAAUUCUAAAAUAGUUUUCCGAAUUUAAUCCACAAAAUACAAUUUUCAAAUGAUUUUAUAUGUUUUCUGAAUUUAAUCUUUAAAAUUCAAUUCUCAAAACAUUUUCCAAAAUUAAUCUUUUAAAUUCAAUUCUCAAAAUAGUUUUCCAAAAUAAAUUUUUUAAAAAUUCAAUUCUUAAAAUAGUUUUCCGAAUUUAAUAUUUAAAAUUCAAUUCUCAAAACAGUUCCCCAAUUUAAUCUUUAAAAUUCAAUUUUCAAAACAGUUUUCCAAAUUUAACCUUUAAAAUUCAAUUCUCAAUAUAAUUUUCCAAAUUUAAUCUUUAAAAUUCAAUUCUCAAAAUAGUUUUCCAAAUUUAAUUUCUUAAAAAUUUAAUUCUCAAAUAUUUUUCCAAAUUUAAUCUUUAAUAUUCAAUUCUCAGAACAGUUUUCCAAUUUUAAUCUUUAAAAUUCAAUUCUCAAAAUAGUUUUCCAAAUUUAAUCUUUAAAAUUCAAUUCUCAAAAUAGUUUUCCAAAUUUAAUUUCUUAAAAAUUUAAUUCUCAAAUAGUUUUCCAAAUUUAAUAUUUAAAAUUCAAUUCUCAAAAUAGUUUUCCAAAUUUAAUUUCUUAAAAAUUUAAUUCUCAAAAUUUCCAAAAUUUCGAAAUUUCAAAUUCAAUUUUUUUGAAUACCAUUUUCAAAUAAUUUUUCAAAAUUCCAAAAUUUCAAAUUCAUUUUUGUAAAAAAUACCAUUAUCAAAUUUUCCAAAGUUCCAAAAUUCCAAAAUUAUUUUUUAAAACUAUUAUUUUCAAAUAAUUUUCCAAAGUUCCAAAAUUCCAAAAUUAUUUUUAGAACUAUUAUUCUCAAAUAAUUUUCCAAAGUUCCAAAAUCCCAAAUUUAGUUGUUAAAAUUAUUAUUCUCAAAUAAUUUUCCAGAUUUCCAAAAUUUCAAACUUAAUUUUUACUGUCAUCGUUAAAUGAUUUUUCAAAAUUCCAAAUUCCAAAUUUAAUUUUCCAAACUCCCAUUUUCAAAUUUUUUUAAAUUAAAAAAAUGAAUAAGUUUUCAUAAUUUCAAAAUAAUAAAAUUUAUGAGAAUUAAUUCAUAGUAAAAAUAGAUUGGGCUUUGGUGGGAGUCCAACAUUCAUAACUUUUCUUUAAAAAAUAAUUCAAGUAAAUGGUGCGAUCGAUUUUGAUUUGGUUUUGUGUGAGAUUUUUACACUUGUCAUUGUACACUAAUCAUGUUUUCAUAACAAUGCUUUAUUAUCUGCUACCAAGUUAUGCUCUCACUCUCACUUGGUUUAUAUUUCGGUAUCAUGACUUGUUUUUAAGAUAUGAUCAUUUUGGUAUCCAUUGAUUUUCUAGUUAAUUGUCAUGCAUGCUUUACCUUAUUUAGUAGAGACCCAUUUUUAGGGGAUUAGAAGGGUGCUACGGUCUUUAUUGUAUCUUCCUAGUAGGUAACCUGAUCCCCAGACCCAGACUUAGGUUUUUCGUAGAUUGCUUUUCCACAAAAAUCAGGAGUCCUUUUAGGGGUUUUAUUCUUACUUGUUUUCCCCUUUAAAAGUAAAUAAAAAUAAGUGGCGACUCCAAGUAUUUUCUAAAAAUCAUAUUUUUUUCACCAAAUAAACAAAAAACGAGUCGCGUCAUCGGGUGGGAACACAUCGAGCUAAAAAUACGGGGUCCACAAAUUGGCGAAUCCAUUGGGGAUCGAACCCAGAAUCUUUGGUUUCAUAAAAAAUCAAUCUCGAACUUAAGUUGAGGCAAAUAUGACAUUUGAUUAGUCGAUUGAUGGAUACCAUCUCUUUGUGCUUUUCUAUGAUUGAGUGUUCAUAGCAUAUUAAGAUUUUGAUGUGAUGAUUUCCUAUGCUUGACUGUCAUAUUCAUUUGGGACAUUAGUGUGAUGAUGACAUUGAUUGUUUAUCUUGCCUGUCUUAGUAUAGUGAUUUUGAUCUUGCCAUGAUUGUUCUGCUCACCUCACAUGUAUAGACUCAUUGUUGUAUAUCUUUCGAUUGCGUGUGUUGAUUAUCUUGCUUGUAUAUUAUCUUGAUCAUCUUUGAGCAUGCUGUCUUUAUCACUAUUCAUUUUGAUUGUCAUAUUCUCGUUUAGCUUAUGUGUAGACAUGGAUGAUAUAUCUACACUUUGCUUGACUGUUUGUUGCAUGACUGCUCUUCUUUUGUAUGUUUGCAUGUUGUUUGUCUGUGUGAGUCGCACAUAUAUCCUCUUACCUCCAACCCUCUAGUUUUGGUCAUUUCCUUCAUCUCGACUCUUAUUUUUGCAAGUGUGAGGCCUUGUGUGUGCUUGUUUCUCUGACCAAGCAACAAGCUAUAUCGUUGUUUGGGAGCAUUCUACAGAAGGCCAACACAUUGAUGUUGAUUGGAGUAUGAUCUUUGAAGACUUGUAUAGCCUAGAGCUAGGUUUCAUGGAUAUUUGUGUGACUAGUGUGUUUCUUUUUCUAUUUUAGCUUCAUAGGAUUUUCGGAUGCACCCACACCACUCACCGUGCACUUUAGUUGACUAUUGAGUACUGAGAGUUGCGAGAGCUUUCACCAUAAGAAAACACUUGGGAUGUCGAGGUAGUGCAUGUGUGGAUGUAAUGACCACCUUGCAUAGAAGCGCCUCGUUUCUUCGAAGGCAUGCAGAAGGUUGCUUACCACCGAAGGGUAUGAUCACUUCUGCUAGGGAUCCUUUAACCCACCCUAUUAUUUUUAAAGCCACCUUAUCCUUAUAGGCUAAGCUUAGAAUCAAAUUUCACGUGAUUUGUUGCACCAGAAUCAAUUAUCCAUGCACUAUUCAAAAUAGAUGUAGAAAUAUUUAAAACCUUACCACCAUUAUCUACAUCUAUUACUAAUGUUGAGGCUUUUCCAAUAACAUCAUCUUCUGCUUUUGUUUCAAUAACUGCAAUGGUUAAGGUCAUUUUUUAUUUUCUUUGAAUGACUAUGAUCCCACCAUUCUGGAUAUCCUACUAGUUCAAAACAACGACUUUUGGUAUGACCAGCCUUAUUGCAAUGAGUGCAUUAAUAAGUGGACUUAUCAAUACCAUUGAUUGUUUUACCAUUGUUGGCUUGCAAACGAUCUUGUUGAUUCUGAUUAGACUGAUUUUGGUCCAUCAUAGCACUAGCUUUAGGUGUUACAAAAUUGCUUUUCAAAGUGGUGUUAUGUAUGGCAUCUCAUCGAAUCAAAGAGUAGCAUUCCUCCAAGUUUGGAAUUGAGUUCUUGCACAAAAUCUCUCGUCGGAUUUGGUCAAACUCUUCAUCUAAUCCAGCCAAGAAUAUGUGAACUCUCAAUCGUUCAAUAGACCUGUAAUAUGUCGUGACAUCAUCAAGAUCCUUCAUAACCGCCUUAUCAUGAUGGUCCAAUUCUUGGAAAAUUUAUGUCAACUCUCUAUAAUAUACAGAGAGUUUUUUCACUUUGUUUUGCAGAGAAGGCCUUCUAAUUUAGAGAAUACACUUUUAAUUCAUCACUUCCAUCAUAAAAUGAUUUUGACAAUGCAUCCCAAAUUUCAUAGGCAAUGGGCAAUCAUAAGUAACGCUGCAUAAUUUCUAGAGACAUGGACAUUAAAAGCCACAUUUUAACCUUUUGAUUUUCAACUUACCAUUUUUCAUAACCUUCAUCAGACUCCACAUGUGGCUUAGUUUUGCCCCGAAUAUAGGAGAUCUUAUCUCUUUCAACAAUCUGUAUCUCUAUCAAUUGGGACCAUAUGUUAUAGUUAGAUUCUGUAAGAGUGAUUCCGACAUUAAACGUUCAUUUGGCCUGAAUUACAAUACUUUUUUCAUUCAUUUGCUUUAAAGGGUCUUCUUUAUCACUCCAACAGAUUGAGACCUACCUUCAAAAGAUAGGUAGAACAAGGUCAAGAGAUGCAAUGAAAAUUAAUCACGAUGACAACUUAGGCACAAUGGCAAAGCAAGUGAAAAGAAUCAAAAGUCAGUGGUUGGUGAGUGUUGAUCACAAGAACGAGAAGUGGAUCGGACUUGGUCAGAUGCUGAAGUGCCACAUCGAGUUCGCCUUCUCACAAUAAUGAUUUCAUAAUUUUAUGUAAAGCCACGGUUGAUUGUAUUUCGUUUAUUUUUUUAGGCUCUAUUACCGUCUUUUAACAAAUCAUCCCUAAAGAUUGGUUUAGAUUUUUCGCUAGAGUUGCCGAGAAAUUUUUCUGAUAUUCUAGGAUCAAAAUGGAACUAGUUUUCUAAUUUAGGGUAACUUCUGGGUUUGGAUUUUGAAUGAUUAUUAAAAUAAUAAUAAUAAUAAUAAUAAUAAUAAUAAUAAUAAUAAUAAUAAUAAUAAUAAUAAUGGGUUUAGCAACUGAGUGUUUUCUCUUACAUAGUGUCUUCCUCCCAUAUGCAUGUCACUUCCUCUUGUACGACCACUUUGGUACACACUAUCCUCCUCUUGAUGCAUUUCUUUUAUCUUUGUGUGAAUUUAGAUGUUUUGAAUUGGGUUUUCAAACUUCUUUCUAUUUAAAUUAUCUCAAUUUUUAAAUUUCAUCCUUAGACUUUUCUUUUUAGGUCUCUAAAAUAUUUUUAAUAAAUUUAUUGCCAUAUUUCCUUCGGCAUGCACCUUUCUUUUAUUUUUAAUAACUUUCUCGAUUUCCUCAAUUUUUUAGUAACAUGAAUAAAUUCCACAAUUCCAAAAUAAUGGAAUUUUCUCUAACUCUUUUGUGGUCUUUCCUUUAUGAUCAUUAGAAAGCAGGAAAAUGUGGAUGACUUCAUGCAAAUAAAUUUAGGUAGUGGUGGGGCUUGACAUACAUGAUAUUUUCCUUUGAUUAUUGAUUCCAAUUGCUUUGUUUACUACAUAAAAGAUUGAAUAUUUCUUAGCUAUUGUGAUAUACAUGUGAGAUAUUUUACACUUAUCAUUGUGCACUAACUUUGUCUCUCAGUGCUUAGUUUGCCGCUAAGGUAUACCCUCGAAUCAUGAUGAUCAUCCUCAGUAUCCAUUGAUUAAGUAGUUAAUUGUCAUACUUGUCUUAACUUGAUUUGUAGAGACCUAAUUUUAAGGCUUAGAGGGGUGUUAUAACUUACCGUUGUACCUUCCUGAUAGGUAACUGAUCCUCAGACCCCAACUUGGUUUUGCAUAGACCUGUUUUUUCCUUUCUAGGUGUCACACUUAGGGUUUUCUUUCUUUUUUUGUUUUUCCAAAAAUAAUUGGCAACUCUAAAACCAUUUUUAAAAAAAUAAACUUUUCAUAAAUAAAAAGCAAAUCUCUCCAUUGAGUGGAAACGCAUGUGAAAAACAUGGAUUUACAAUUUUGUAUUAAAAAAAAAUCAUAGAAUCCCUUUUUCACAUUUAGUAUUAUUUAAAAAGUAUUCCAUAAAUUUAUUAUAGCAACUUUGACCAUUGGAAGGAUUGCUCGAUCGCUUGAGCCACUUGAGCAUUAAUCCAACCACUCAAGCAAUAAGGCCACUUGAGCGCUAAUCAAAUCGCUCAAGCAUUAAGGCCACUCGAGUGCUUAUCUAAGCGCUUAAGCAUUGCAUCCUGUAGUUGUGCACUUGAGGUUAUUUCUACAACUUUUUUGGCCACCGUUUCUUUGAAAAAUUCACAUUUUUGAACAACUUUUUACACCAUGGAUGUUUGUGAAUGCUUUGAACUUUUAAUCUUGGCUUUUAGGUCACCAAAGACAUAUAAAAACUGAUUUUUUUCAAAGAGAAAGAUCAAAUGCUCUGUCGAAAUAGAGCUUACAAUUCGUCUAAGAACAAAAACCGAAUUUUUUACACCCAAAUAUAAAAAUAAUAAUCCAUAUUUUGUUACAUCAUGUCAUGGUUUUAAGGGUUUUAUCACAUUUAUUAGAUAUAAAAGAAAGAGAAGAAGCAAAAAAUAAACAAAUUAAUGUCUUGUAAAGUUGAAGGAUGAAAACCCUCAUGACAUGAAGACUUUUGCAAGACUAGUUUUCAUAAUGAGGAAGGAUAAGGUCGCACAUCAUGUGGAUUUUCCCAUUGAUAGAUUUGGUGGAGAUUUUAAGACAUUCUUAUUGAAAGAGGACAUAGAGGAUAUUCAUUUUGUAAUUCUACAAUACUUAGAUGAUAUUUCCCUUUAAUCUUAGAUUUAUAAAUUCUCAUUACACUAGAUGGAGAUGGAGGUGAUGGUACUAUUUUGAUUAACGUAGAUGCCAUACCAAUUUUUUUUGGAGUUAUUUAUCAUUUUGUAUAAGGUGUGAACCAUACCUAGAUUGAUUCUGUUGUUUCUUUGCUGUGAAGAGAAAAUUCCAUAUCUAAUAUAAAAAAGUUUGUUGGGGAAAGUGGUAAAGUGGUGGAGAUGUUGACUUAAGAUUGGCAAUAUGGUGGCCUUUUAAAACUUACCCAAAAUCCAUACCAAGUGUUUUUGUUUUUUUUUUCAUUCGUUUUUUCUUUUAUUGGGAAAACAAAUUGAUUUCUAAUUUAGUUAAAUUUGUUUGGGAAAAAUGGUGAAGAUGGUGGUUGCCUUGUGUAUUCAAGUUCCUAGAGAAGAUUGCAAGAUGGUGACAUUUUGAAAUGGCUUAAGAAGAGAUGUUUUUUCAUCCAAAGUUGAUACAAGAUUUUGGAGCUACUCACAAUUUUGCAUAACCUAUGGAUCACACAUAUUAAAUAUUAAUUCUUUAUCUAUUUUGUGAGGAAAAAAAAAAUCAUUUGUGGUCUAAAUAACAUUCAUGAGGGAAAAUGGAGAAUUAUGUUGAAAUUAAAUUAAAUUAUGUUUGUUGUUGAAAUUAAAUUAGAAUGCAAAAACAGCUGUUGAAAUUAAAUUAUGUUUGUUGUUUUCUUCUAGGUUAUCUUAUUUGCAAGGACAUGACGAAUCUUGUUUGUGGAUCUUUCAUGUGACACAAGAUAUGAUAAUAUAGAUGUGAUGUAAAUUGGUGGGACAUUAAUACAAUGACACUUAUAUUGUUGGUAAGUUAAUUUAGAUAAAUUUAAAAUAGUGGUAGAUUUUAACCAGGGAAAAUAUUCCGACUUUGGUAAUAGGUACCUCGGGAGAUAUUUUUUUUAGGGUUAAUUUCUUACCCGAGGUUUUUGCCAAAUAAAUCUUUUUAUUUAUUAUUCUCACUCACAAUUUCUCUUGACGAAAUUUCAAAUCUGUCAUGUGUAUUUAAUUAAAAUCUCAAAAGAGGUAAAUAAAUCAACCCAUUUUUUAUGGAAAUAAAAUUGGGUCUUUUGUUAAUAUGAAUGGUCAAUAUUGAAAUUAUGAAGAAAAAGAACGACUUAUUUCAUAUGGAUGAUUUAUCAAAGUUAACCAUAAAAUUUGCAAAUGCAUUUUGUGAAUAAGCACUGAUGCUUUCUUAUUGUCAAGGUUUGUGUACAAAUUAAGCUCUUUUUAUUCUUACGUGGAAAUGGAUAAUAUAAAAGAAAAUAAAAUAUAAUUAAAAUUAAUUUAAAUUUCUACAUUUUAAAGUUAUUUAAUUUUUAUAUCGAUGAGUUAAAAUAAGUAAAAUGAGAUUGAAAUAGUAAAUAAAAAUAAUUUAUCGAUCUUUAAUUUAUUUUUUAUUAUCCUUUAUUUUUUAUUUUCUUCUACUUUUCUUUAAUAUUUUCUUUCUUUUUUAAUUUUCCCUCAAAUUUUCCGGGAGUCAAACAUAGUCAAAGGGAUUAUCAAGAAAAAAAAAUAUUAUGAAAAAUGAUUUCUUAUGUUUGAUUUUACUAUAUGAUAAAUGCAAAAAAAAAAAAAAAAAAGUGGGAUAUAAUUAAAAUUAUAAAAAAAAAAUUGUAUAUUUUUUAAAUUGUUUAAUCUUUAUAUAAAAUAAUUAAAGAAAUGAAAAAAAAUUAAAAAAACAUAUAAAAAUAAUUUAUUAAUUUUAAAUUUAUUUUUUAUUUUCUAUUUUUACUCUCUACUUUUUAUCUCUUCCACUUUCUUCGAGACUUUCCAAAUCAAACGUGAAAGAAGAAAGAUUAAGAAAAAGGGAAAAGGCAAUAGAUGUCUGUAGAAGUUCACUGAUUGAGAUGCAAAGCCCAUCCGUGACUUGAUCUGAUUUGGCAAAUGUUGGUCCGUGACUUUGCUCUGGACCCAUCAGCCCUUUUGCCGUCCACGUCUUCUUCACAUGGGAUUUUGCAAAAGCUGGUUGAUAAUGAAAUGGCGAACACACGUACCACCAAAACAAUUUUAUAUCAAUUAUCUUCUUAAUUUUGUCUCUAUUUCAAUGUCCAGUGACGAUCAGAAUUUGAAUGCACAAGAAAUGGAUGGAUAAUGAUGUCAUUAAACAUAAUUUAAUUUUUAUUUUAAAAGAAAAUCUUUAUAAAAAGCAAAUAAAUCCAAUGGAAACAGAAAUGUGAAAGGGUUGCAGACCCUGCUUUUGCCUUGGUUAAUGGGAGCGAAGCUGACAGCUUCGGCCUCUGGGUUUGGUGUAUUCAUUGUUAUAAUAUCAAUACUUGUGGAUAGACCUACAGGGGGUGAUGGCUGCUUAGUGCGCCGGAGACUGGAGGGGUAAGGAAAGCAAGCUUCUUCUUGUUGAUGUGAGCCUGGAGGUGGCUAGUGGAAAACUGAUAAUGGGGACACAAAUCCUUCCUUCAUCACAUCUGCUCUGCCUGUUAAUGGCAAUUUUUUUAUCAGGAAUCCAUCAUUCAUGCCAGCUAGAGCCAUCUCAAUCUCAGGCCCUUGUCAAAAUCCGGCAGCUUCUCUACAACCCAUCAGUUGUAAGCAUUUGGGAUUCCAGACCAGACAUUUGCGACCUUGAUCAACUAGAGUCAUCAUCUCAUUCUCUAACACUGGCAUGCUAUGAAGACAGCAUAACCCAGCUGCAUAUUAUUGGGAACAAUGAGCCACUGCCUCAAAAUUUCUCCGCGGAUUCUUUCUUCGCUGCUCUAACCAGUCUCCCAAACUUGAAGUCCUGUCUUUGUGUCCCUAGUAUGUGGGGGCCUUUGCCCACUGNNNNNNNNNNNNNNNNNNNNNNNNNNNNNNNNNNNNNNNNNNNNNNNNNNNNNNNNNNNNNNNNNNNNNNNNNNNNNNNNNNNNNNNNNNNNNNNNNNNNUUCUUCGCUGCUCUAACCAGUCUCCCAAACUUGAAGGUCCUGUCUUUGGUGUCCCUAGGUAUGUGGGGGCCUUUGCCCACUGUAACUGGUAAUUUGUCUUCAUUGGAAAUACUCAAUCUUACUUCCAAUUACUUCAAUGCCACCAUCCCUGUACAAGUAUCAUCUCUGAAGAACCUCCAAACGCUAGUACUAGAGGGUAACAUGUUCACUGGUACUGUUCCUGAUUGGCUGAGUUCACUCCCACUCUUGGCUGUUCUGAGUCUCAAGAACAAUUCCUUUCAUGGGACUCUUCCGGAUUCUUUGUCAAAUUUGAGAAACAUCAGGAUUCUUGACCUUUCAAUGAAUCAUUUAUCUGGACAAGUGCCCGAUCUUCGGAACUUGACCAACCUUCAAGUUCUUGAUAUACAAGAUAAUUUUUUUGGACCUCAAUUUCCUAGUUUGCACACUAAGUUGGUUGCCCUGGUACUCAGAAACAAUCAGUUCCACUCUGGUAUUCCUGUUGAAUUAAGCUACUAUUAUCAGCUGCAAAAACUGGACAUCUCUUUCAACGGAUUUGUGGGACCAUUUUUGCCAUCACUGCUGUCCCUGCCUUCAAUCACUUAUCUAGAUGUAGCAAAGAAUAGAUUCACUGGAAUGCUUUUCCCAAACAUGUCUUGCAAUCCCCAACUUGCUCUAGUGAAUUUGUCCUCAAAUCUUUUGACUGGGGACUUACCUCCUUGCUUACAAUCGGCUCCUAAGAGCCGGGUUGUGGUGUAUGAGAGGAAUUGUCUUUCCAGUGGAGAUCAGGUGCAGCAUCCUUAUUCCUUUUGCAGAAUUGAAGCUAUGGCUGUGAAAAUCUUGCCUCAUAUGCACAAGGAAGAGAGAAGACCAUUUUCCAUAGCAGUCCUUGCAUCAAUCAUAGUGGGAGUGAUUGUUGGAGUAGUUGCACUCGUUGGGUUAGUUUUUUUGGUCAUUAGAAGAUUAAAUGCUCAGAACACGGCAAAGACACCCGCAACAAGAUUACCAUCUGAGCAAUUCUCAACUGUAGAUGCAGCAAAACUGAUUUUCGAUGCAAGUAAGAUUUACGCUUUCCUUUUCUUUUUUUCUCCAGAAUGCUUACAACCUAAGGCUGCAUAUGCUGGACCAUCACUUUCUCUUGCUCUCAAAUAGCAAGAAUGCUAAUUUUGGUGUGAAAGUGCAGACUAAUGAGGGCAUAAUUUUCCCGCAUUCUUCCCAACUGCUUCCUAUCAAAUUUAAUGGAACUACAAUUUUUUACUUCCUAAUUUUUUCCUCAUGCAAGCAGAUGGAUCCUAUUGUGAUUAGGAGAAUCCUAGAAUAUAAACAGAUUUAUGUUACUCUCUUCUGGAAGGACUUAAUGUAGAAUUCCCAUUUAUUUUGUCCAUUAUUUGUUGAACAAUUCAUUCUAAGACUCCAACAUUUUCCUCAAUAAAAAUGAUGGUAUAUUAUGCUAAAUGGUGGACAACCAUGGGCAUUCCAACCUGCAUCCUGUUUUAAUAUUAGCAAUCUUGAGAGUUCCCUGUUUCUCAUGUUCUGCUUGAAGUGAUUAUGGUAAUUUUACUCUGUUGAUGAUCUUGCAUAUGGAGAAUUUGGAUUUGUUUACCGUUCAUAGAUAUUCAUGGAUGUAAAUUUUAAUUUAAUUCAGUUCCAGCUGACAUAUCUAAGAAAAAUAGUAAAGAAAUUUGUACUUAGAAACAUGACAUAUGGCUAUUUGAAAUUCUUGUACUUUCAGGAAAUAUAUCACAAACAAUGAAGCUUGGAGCUCUUGGUCUUCCUGCUUAUCGAACCUUUUUCCUGGAGGAGCUUAAGGAGGCUACCAAUAACUUUGAUGAAUCAAGUCUGAUUGAAGGUUCUCAUGGUCAGGUAAUGCCAUUUUUCUUUUUGUUAACUCCCAUAGUUUUCCUCAUUUAUCUGACUGCCAUGAAACUGCCUUACCUUAAAGUAGGCUUAAAUAGAAGCCCUUUUUUAGCAGAAAGUUCCAUGGAUUAACCAUGUAAAAAUUAAAAAAUAGCAUAUAACUCAAAUCAGCACCAUAGAGCCUUAACCAUCUGAAGAAAAUAAAUCCUGAUAGCUAAACAUGAAGGUUCUUUCUAUGGUUAUUAUCAAAUUAUUCAUGUACCUCCUAACUCUUCUAAAAUAACAUUUGCCUCCAUACUCUUCGGAGGGAAAUUGGAUUGCCUCCCUUCUUGAAACAGGUGUUAUAUUUUGAAGUCAUGUGUGAUCCUUUAGAUGCUUUGAAGUCAUGUCCAAUGAUAGAAGAAGUAAAGGAAGGGGUGACAUGUGUUAUAUUUUGAACACGAGGGAAAAUGCCAUUCAAAAAGAUCAUCACACACGUAUAUUAGAACAUUGAAUGAGCAUGAUCCUUUGGAUGCUUUUUAGUUGUCUCCAAAGUCAUUUUACUUACAGGUGUGAAUGCUCUAUGAAUAAACUUCCUCCUUGCUUGUAGUGGAAAUGUGUUUACCUUUUUUUUUUUUUAUGCCUAAACUGCUACCUUGGACUGGAUUGCUAGCUUGUUAAAGGACUCUUUACAUCUUAUAAUAGUGUUUCAACUGUUAGAUGCUGAUGAAACUAUAUGAUAUGUUCUCACUGAAACAUGAGAAUAUCUGCUGCUUCUGAUAAAAUUUCAGAUAUACAAAGGUAAGCUCACCGAUGGCACUAUUGUUGCUAUAAGAAGCUUGCAAAUGAGAAGGCGCCAACGAAGCCAAUCAUAUAUGCACCACAUUGAGCUGAUUUCAAAGCUUAGACACAGCCAUUUGGUUAGUGCACUUGGACACUGCUUUGAGUGCUUUCCAGAUGAUUCAUGCGUCAGCAGAAUAUUUCUUAUAACUGAGUCCAUACCAAAUGGGACACUAAGGGGCUGCAUCUCUGGUAAAUGAUUGACCAUUACUUAUAUUUUGUAGUUGUUCAUAUCAAGUGAAUAAUAUAUAAUCUUGGUGGAGAAAUCCCUGUUCAUUGGCUCUUCAAACUUCUCUGUGAUUGUUCAUGAAGCCUAUAAGGACUGUGCUCCAUUGUAUGACAUCUUUCAAACAGCUGUUAGAUUGGGGCAUUUCUUACAGCUGCAUGAAAAGACUGAAAUCAUAUGCAAUAAGGAAUAUGUUUCCUCGAAUUGAAAUGAUUUCAGUCUGCUAUGACUAGACCAGGAAAUUAAUAGCAACAUAUACGUGAUUCAUUUUGGGCUAUUGGACCUGUCAUUAAAUUUGUUUGACUGGAUGAGAUUUUGAGGUCAAAACUAGAAGAUAACAGAUGAACUUUUUCUGGACCAAUGCCAUAUUGUUCUAAUCAUUAUGAAGAGUGAUGUCUCAGACACCUAGUGUUGUAUAUUGUGCAGGGACUGUAUGCAAUAUCUUAUUAUUACUGUUUUCCUUUUUUUUUUUUGUUGGUUUUUUCAUUUUUGACACUUGGAAUUGGCAGGAAAUCGAAGACAAAGGCUUAAUUGGACACAAAGGAUAGCAGCUGCCAUUGGAGUUGUGAAGGGUAUUCAGUUUCUUCAUACUGGGAUUGUGCCUGGUUUAUUUUCAAACAAUCUGAAAAUAACAGAUGUUUUGUUGGAUCAUAAUCUUCACGUCAAAAUCAGCAGUUAUAACCUCCCUUUGUUAGCCGAAAGUAGGGAACAGGUGGGGCAAAUCUGUACUUCAUAUAGCUGGAUAUUUUUUCCAUUAAAGCAUAUACUCUGAGUUGAUAGCUUGCUUUGUAAGCCUUUCAGGUUGGUGUUGGUGUUUCUUCUUCUGGACUAAAAGGAAAUGCACAGGCAAGGUAUGACUGAUUUUCUUUUUUCUUUUUCUCAUGGUGCUUAAGUCAGUGUAGUAAAACUAAUAAUUAUAAGGAGAAUGUUAUUUGGCCACCAACACUUUAGAAAACUUUCUUUGUUGUUGAGAUUCCAGAGGCAUGACCCCAAACAAUUGAGCUACUCGUUUGUGUCAAAAGAUACAUCUUGAAUUCAAUUGAAUAUGUAGGAUCAUUGGGGGUAAUUUUGUUCUCUUUAGAGCCAUAUAUACAACAACAAUCUUAUAACAUCAUGUUUUUUUAUUGCAACCUCAACUUCUAAUUCUUGGUAGCCUUCCUUUCUUACCUUUUGAACAAAUUGGUCCAACCCCUGCCUUCUGAGGCAUCUAUUUUAGUCUUUGUUACUGUCACUCAUCAAUCUCAAGUUUCUAAUUUCUGUUACAAAUAUGUUUAUGACCUGCUGUUUCUCCGGUGAUCAGUAGAAAAAAAGAAAAAAAACUCAUAAGGUAAAGCUUGACUUAUCUAUCUCAUAAAAUUCCUACGUAACUUGAUAGAUAUUGAUGGUCACGAGAUACUCCAAAAGCAUUUUUGGCUUCAUCUGUCUUGUUUUAUUCUAUGGGUAGUCAUUUAAUCUUGUUUCACUCAUGAAAGAUUCAGAGUAUCAUGAAUGUUAGCAUCCUUUCGUAGCUCUCUCUCUCUCUCUCAUAGAUUCACACUUUACACUCUACAAUCAGGUUGCCAUUCUCCACUUUCCACAUGUGUUGUUUUUCUAAGCACCCACAAUUUGGAGUACAAUGCAGUCAAAAGUGAAACAUGGACAGAAUUACUAAAUAUUUUGUAUCAUUCUUUUCCAAUGCAGAGCUGCAGUGGUAUAUUUCCUUUUUAAAAAAUCAAUGAGCGUGGGGUGGCAUGCUAUUCUUUGAAAAUUGCCUCAACAAUUAUAUCAGAUAUUUCUUUGAUUAUAUUCUCAAAUUUUCUACGGCCAUUUACAGGGGCAAAGAUGGGGAUAAGAAUGAUGUCUAUGACUUAGGAGUAAUAUUACUCGAAAUCAUUGUUGGAAGGCCAAUCACUUCCAAAAAUGAUGUAGUUGUUGCAAGGGAUCUUGUAAGUGUUCUUUUGGCCACAUUAUUCAAUAUCUUUUUCUGUCAGAACCCUUUUCUUAUCUGGGCAAUGGUCAAUUUCCUUGACAUGGCAUUGACCAACCGAGCAAAUAUAUGUUAGAGCUAUGGCAAGUGAUGUUACAUGGUUGCUGAAUCAUGACAUUGAAUUCUUUUUGGUCUCGGUGCAGUUAAUAGUAGGCAUGAAAGCUGAUGACAUAGCCCGAAAGACUAUAAUGGAUCCUGCAGUUGGUAAGGAGUGGUCAGGUGAAUCAAUCAAGACGCUGAUGGAGAUCUGCAUCAGAUGUCUGCACAAUGAACCAAGUGAGAGGCCUUCAGUUGAGGAUGUCCUUUGGAACUUACAGUUUGCAGCUCAGGUUCAGGAUUCAUGGAGGGGAGAACCCCAGAGCAAUCUUCAGUCACCUGACUUGUCUUCACAAUGAGUGUAAUCCUAGGAGCCUGUAGGAACAUAUUGCUUUUGCCUUUUUUGGAGCUUGUUCAAAAGAUCGGAUCAGUUUCAUCCAAACCAACUUCUGUUGACCUGAUCAUUUGAAAUAGCCUUGAAUAAAAGGAGGUUCAAGAGGAUUGAUUAAGUAACAAUUUGAUAUGGCAUAGAGCCUUAAUUUUGAGAAGUGCUUUUUCCCUGUCUAACAUGCCCUUGGCAUAUGAAGUAAGGUGUUAAAGUGUUCGAGGAAUUAAUAUAAUAUUAGUAGUCUAUUACCUAAAAGUUUGAACUUUUCGGUCAACUGUUAAAGAAAUAGGGAGAAUUAGGCCCUCUUUGGCAACCGAUGUUUGAAAACAAUUUUCUAUUAUCCAAAAUAUAAAAACUGGAAAACACGUUUGAUAAUAAAAAAUAUAUAUAUAUAAAAUGGUUCUCUAUUCUUAAAAAUAAGAAAUUUUCAAAGAACAUCUUUUAAUUGUUUUAAGUUGUUUUCACUUAUUUUCUAAAGAACGUUUUAAAAAAUAAUAUAUAAAUAUGGAGAAUGAUUAAAAAUAAAACAUUACAAAUAUAAGUUAUUUUUAAAACAUAUUUAAAAAUAUAAGAAAAAUGUUAACAACAUUAAAAAUUUCAAAACAUUUUUUUUUUCUAAAAAAAAUUAGAAAAUAAUUUUAAAAAAUAAUUUUAAAAACUUGUUAUUAAGCUAAAAGCAAGGAAAUGGAAGAAAAUAAAACCCUUUCUCAUUAAACAAAAAAAUUAAAUUAAAAAUACAAAGACAAGCUAUAUAAAGAGCUUAAUAACAACUCAAUAACAGUUGUAACAAAAUAACAAAAAAAAGUUGCAACAAACAAAACGACAACAAACAAAAUAUGUACAUGACCUAAUACUCUCCCUCAAAAUGGACUGAGAAUGUCCUUUACAACCAUCUUGGAUAAAAAAGGAAACAACAAAGAAGAAAGCAAAACUUUGGUAAAAACAUUAGCUAGUUGAAGUUGAGAGUGAAGAGGCAUUACCUUGAUGAAACCAUCAGCAACUUUAUCACGAACAAAAUGACAAUCGAUCUCGAUAUGUUUGGUCCUCUUAUGAAAAAAAAGAAGAUUAAAAGCAAGAUGAAUGACAACUUGAUUAUCACAAAACAGAAGUGUAGGAAAGGAAAUAGGAACUUGAAAGUCCUUCAGCAAUUGGCGUAGCCAAACCAAUUCACUAGUAGUAGAAACUAAAGCCUUUACGGAGGAUCGAGAAACUGUGGUUUGGUUCUUAGCUUUCCAAGAGACCAAAGAAUUACCAAUAAAGAUGCAAAAACCAGUGACACAUUUUCUAGUAUCUAAACAAUAGCCUCAAUCAGCAUUUGAAAAAGCUUUCAAUUGGAGAAAAAAUAAAGAAGAAAAGAAAAGGCCUUGACCAGGAGUGGACUUAAGGUAUAGUGUAAAAGAUGAUAAACGACUUGCAAGUGGAGUAAUCUAGGUAGAGCUAAAAACUAAGUUUAUGGACAACAAAAGUAAUAUCAGGCCAAGACAAGGUGAGAUACAGAAGACGACCAAUAAGCCUUCAAUAUUGUGAAACAUCAGAAAGAACAACACCAUCAUGAGCUUUCAGUUAAACCUUAAGAUCCAUAGGAACAUAUGUAGGCUUACAAGCAAGAUACCGAGUGUCUUCAAGGAGUUGCAGCGUGUGAUGCCUGUGGCAGAUUGAGCGAUUUCAAGUCCAAGAAAAUAUUUAAGACAUCCCAAAUCCUUGAGCUUAAACUGAGUAUGAAGAAAAGUUUUCAAAGCCUGGAUCACUUGAGUGUUUGGACUAGUGAUGAUGAUAUCAUCCACAUAGACUAAUAAAGCAACAAAUGAAGAUCCAAAUCCUUUGGUAAACAAAGAAUGAUCAAACUUGGAUUAGACAAAGCCAUAUUGGAGAAGAAUAUGAUAAAAUUUGGAGUACCAUUAUUUGGAGGCUCGCUUGAGACCAUAGAUUGACUUAUGAAGCUUACAAACCAAUCCAUUCUCCUGUUUAAUAGUCUCCUUCUAUUUACCAUAAGGAAGAAGAAGAUCCACAUAAACUCCUUCAAAUGGCAUUGUUCACAUCAAGUUGAACCAAAUGCCAUUUUUGACUUGUGGCAAAAGCCAACAAAACUAACAGUAACCAACUAUGCUACAGCAGAGAAAGUCUCAAAGAAAUCCAAGCCUUCUUAUUGAGUAUAGCCCUUAGCAAUUAACUGGGCUUUAUUUAAUGGUGAAACAUCACAAUGUAAAUGAUUUUUCAAAGCAUCUAAACAUUUGAAAGAAAGAUGGCCAAGUCUAUUGUGCCAUACAUGAGCUGAAAAAUUGUUCACAAAAAUUGUAGAAGCAGACUUCAAUGUAUCUGUAUCAAGAAUAUAAAGAUCUUCAAACUUGUCACCCCUUCCAAUCAUCUUCUUGGUGUUGAGUUCUUGAAUAAUGAAGCAAGUAAGAAGAAAGUUAACUGUAAGCUGGAAACUACAAGUAAGAGCACUCAUAGAAAUCAAGUUAAACUUGAACUGGAGAACAAAUAAGACAUCCUUGAGGGUGAGCUUGGAACUUAAUGUAACAUCACCACAUAAACUAACAGGAAUCUAAAUAUGAUUGGGCAAAGUAACAAUAUAAUUUUGUAUAGGUCUAAGAGAAACAAAGGUAGUAGCACUAGAACAUAUAUGUCUUGUGGCACUUGAAUCAACUAUCCAAAAUUGAGUGGAGGAAAAUAUAGGAUUCAGAGAAAUUGAAAGACAAAUACCUGCAUUGUAAGAAGUAGUUGGAGUAUCCUAAUGGUCAUUAUUUGGCUUAAUAGAUAAAGCUAAAUGAGUAGAAAACAUAGAAAAAAGUUGCUAAUAUUGAUUAGGAUUAAGAUUCUGAAUGAAAUCUCUAACACCACCUAGUUGAUUAGUCUUGACAGUAGAUUUAGAGAAUGACUAGUUUGAUACUUGAUUAACAACAAUGUUAUUGUUGGAAUAAGUAGGAUUAUUCCUCUGCCUAGGUUUGUAAUCAAAUGGACAUCCAUGUAUUUUGUAACAUUUAUCAAUGGUAUGACCAUGAAAGUUGCAAUGAGUAUAGAAAGGUAUAUUUUUUUCUGUCCUUUAUAAUCUCUAGAAGCCUUAGAAUUAUCAGUCUUAACAACAAAAGCCAUGGUUCCAGUAGAAUCUAAACUAGUAUUAAUAUGGUUACCAAUUUUCUUCUAAUGUUCAUUUUGAGAAAUUAAGGAAAACAUUUUAUUUAUAGGGGGUAAAAUAUCCAUAAGAAGCAACUGUCCUUUGACUUGAGGAAAUGAGUCAUUUAAUCCGAUAAGAAAAGACAUGAUAUAUUUCAUUUGAUAGUGAGAAUGGAGAUUCUUCACACCACCACAAGUGCAUUUACUACAAGUAUAAAUUGGCCUAUAAUUGCUCAAUUUCUCCCAUAUAGUCUUCAGUUUAGUAAAAUAUGCACUAACAAAGUAAUGAUCUUGAACCAAAUUCAUCAAUUCAUGUCUUAAUUGAAAAUUUCUAAGUCUAUUCCUCUGUUGAAAGCAAUCUUUGAGAUUAAGCCAAAUCUCUCUAGUCAAAUCAACAAAUAUCACACUAGUAGAAAUCUCCUUAGAAAUAGAGUUUAAGAUCCAAGAGAUAACAAUAUUGUUAUUCAUAGUCUAAGAAUGAAAAAAAUCUAGAUUAGUACUUUUGGGUUUGACGAUCGAUCCAUCAACAAAUCCUAGUUUAUUCUUCACAGACAAAACAAUCAGUAUCGAUCUACUCUAGGAGGCAUAGUUAUCUCUAAUGAGAGGUUACAAAACAAUAACAAGUCCUGGACUAUUUGAAUGAUGAAGAAACUAAGGACUAGAAAGUUCAUCAAUGGUAGAUUUGUUUAAAGAUGACCUAGAAUGAUUCAUGUUUUUAGAUGAUGGAGUCUCCAUAACAAUUGAAAAAAAAAAACAACAAUACUCAACAAUUUUGAAGAAAAACGAAGAUCAGAAGAAUCAGAGAUGAGAAAUUGUAGCAAAUUGUAUCAAAGCUCUGAUACCAUAUUAAGCUGAAAGUAAGAAAAUGGAAGAAGAGAAAACCCUUUCUCAUUGAACAAAAAAACUGAAUUAAAUAUACAGAGACAAAAAUUAUAUAAAGAGCUUAGUAACAACUCAGUAACAACUUAGUAACAAUUGUAACAAAAUAACCAAAAAAAAAAAAAGUUAUAAUAAACAAAAUAUCUACAUGACCUAAUACUUGUUUGUCAUAAUUGUUUUACAAAACACUUUCUAAACAAGCAAUGAUUUAAAGAUAAUCUUCAUAGACUUGGAACUGUUGACCACACUGUGGGACCUAGACAUGGGUGUGCUUAACAUCCUGUAACAACUCCAAUGACCAACUCAGCUCUCAUAGAUCUUAUCGGGCAUAUACUUAGUUGAGAAUCAUAGUGCUAAUUGUAGAGGGGCACUUGGCAAACUACCAGAGGACCAUGUGUUGUCCAAGUUGGCCAAUAUGUAACUAAAGCUUAGGCCACCACAUUUCCAACACUUCUUCACCAACAAGAUUUAAUCUAGGAAUGUUCAAAUUUGAGGUAAAACACUUCUCUUCUAGAUCCAAAGUUUUCAUAUGCAUAUAUGCUUCCGCUGCUAGGAUCUAGAGAAGUCCUAAGAUUAUUAGCAUAUACCUUAACUAGAUCAGAGAUGAGAAUGUUGUAAUCUAGGUUCCCCUACACCAUUUUCUACAAACCCAUCCUGGAUUUUUUUUUUUUUUUUUAGUUUACAUGAUUUAUGAAUUUUACUAUUCAUUGGCAAUAAGAAUGCAUCUAGUAUAUCAUGUAAAUACAUUAGUGAUAUGUUAACAUAAAAACCUAUAUGGUAAGAUAAGAUAUUAGCAUCUAACACUAUUUACACUUGUCAUAAGAAGUAGGUAUGACAAAUAUGUGUUAAACUUAUAAUGCAAGUACACUAAAACUAUGAUGCAUUAUAACAUGGCCUAAUUUUUAUUUUUAUUUUAACAAUUAUUAACAAUUUUUUGUUAUGAUAAUAUUCUCUUGAUAGUUACAUUGUGAAAUUGUUAGCAAGCCUUCACAUAGCUAUUCUUGGUGUUCACUUAAAUAGUUUGGGAACACAAGCAUAUUCUAGAAAGAUUAUUGCAAUUAAUUCUAACAACCUAACUCUAUAGCAUGAGCUAGUCAUCACCCAUGGUGAUCACAAGCAUAACUAAAGAUUUGUUGUAACCUCCCAACAUUUUUCUCCCUUGUCCAUAUCAAGGAAAAAAUAAACAAAAAAACAUUCUCCUUGUUGAUCCUAAUAUUUUCUUCUCUCACCUACUUGCAUAUUGUUCUCUUCAUAAGUUGUUCUAUUUUGUGAAUUCAAACCCUAAGAUUAGGUAUCUAAGAGUAUGUUGUCUUGAGUUCAUUUCCAUAGUAGACACCUACCCAGAAACUAACUUUAAAGGAUGAAAUUGGUCUAAAGGACAAUUAAUUACUAUGUCUGGACUUCUUUAAAUCAUUUUCUUUCUCAAUCUUUUUUACUAUUAGUAUUCAUUUUCGUUAAACCUAUUGAAUAAAUUCAAUACUCUUGUAUUCAAAGCACUACAUUUCCAAUGCUGAAACGGGUUUUGGGAUCGAGCUUUUCCCUAUGCUUCAUGCAACACCUAUACAAUAAAGUUUAUUUUUGACAAAUUUUCCUAUGAUAGACACUAAUGAUUUUGUCACUCCCCUUUCUUUUGAAAAAGAUUUAUCUACUUAGGUCUCUAUCACUACUACUAUAUUUGAGAAGGUUCCGAUUGUUAUACUGAGGAGAUGCUUAUGUCUAUGUCAAUUGAAACAUCUCUUAACCUUACUAAAGGAGUUGAGUUUCAAGCACUAAAUUCAUUGCUUAUGUUUAUUGGGUUGGAUAAGGUAUAAGACAUAGUCGUGCUUCAGUUAACCAAGGAUGGACACAAUUUUAAAGGGUAUAGAGUUAAUGAUUUAAGAGGGUAAACUAGUUGACUGUGGCUAUGCAAUAGCUCCAGUCAUUGAUUGAGGAAAUGGACAAUCAUAUGAAGGAAAUGUUUUAAGUAAAGGGUAUGUAUAUAGAUGAGUUAUUUGAGGAGGGAGGAUUCUACAAUUGCAACUUGAUUUUGGAGGUUGACCAAAACAAGAUAUUUUCUAAGACUUUAAUUGACAUUUAAAGGGACCCUUAGGAGACUCUAGAAACAUUCAAGGAGAUGGAGACUUCCACUAGAAAUAUUUAGCUACGUAUUGAGACUUCAUUGAUUCCCCCUAGCUUGGAGCCCACUUUUAGACCAAUUCUAGUUUAUACCAAGGUUCCACCUAUGUGACCAUUAUUGUUGCUAUUUAUCCUUCAUUAGUUGGGAGAAUAUGAUUUUAGAUUUUUAUUUUGAUUGUUAUUUUUUUUUUUUUUUUGGAUUUGUCAUACUAUAUACUUGGUUACAUUUUGGUUUAUUUGGGAUUUGUCAUACUAUUAGUGGUAAGUUGAGUUGUAGCACUUUGGAUAUGGCAUAAAUGCGUUUAAAUUGUUUUAUUGCUUAUAUUAAACUCAUUGAUUGUUGCUAAUUCAAAACAAAAUCAACUUUUAUCAUCAAAGAAUUGAAACAAAAAAUGAAAGAUUAAUCAAAUUCAUAUUUAAAUUAAUCAAAAUUUGAAAUUCAGAUUUAACAUUCAAAUUCAAAUCAUAAGGUCUUAUUUAGAUUAUUCCCAAUCUUUAUUUUUUGAUUCAAUUACCUAUGUAUCAAUCCAUCUUUUAAGAUUCAUGUUAAUCUCGUGCACAAUCAAUCAAAUAAGUUAUUUAAUGAUUAAGUGAUGAUUAAUCGUUAUUAGACCAAGUAAACAUUGAUUGUCUAUUGAUUAAAAAAGAACAACUAAAAAACAUCUUAAUCAAAUCAAAAUAAAACUUGAAACAAGAGUGAGAGUGUAGUAUUAUCACCAAUUUAUGCCUGUCUAUAGUGAUAUAUGUUUAACUUUCUUGAUCCUUUCUUUAAAUGAAAAGUAAUCAACCUCUCAUAGUAGAAGAUCUCUUGUCAAAAAUCAUGUUUAGUUGACAAGAAAAUAAAAGUGGAGGAAAACUAAGAAAAUAUGAAAUGCAAAUGGUAGAAAUAUCUACAACAAUGUUUCUCCAAAAUCUCUAAAGUUGGAAAAGAAAUUCAAAUGAUAACCACCUAAAAGAAAAAGAAAAAAAAAACAGAAACAGGAAAAAAAAAUGAAUGAAUAGAAAGAUCGAAUUAUUAUAGUAAAUUCAAUCGAAAAGGAGCAAUCCUCAUCUAACCAAACAUGCCACAUAAUCAAGUAGAAUCAUAGUAAAAAUCUAAGCAAAAAUUAUUUUUGGAGGGUUACAACUCAAAAACAUAAAUCAACUAUUCAAAUCAUUUAUUUUGAUUUCUCUUGUAGAUGAAAUCAAAAUAUUUGAUUUCCCCAAGAGGUUAGUCAACUUUUGCCUCUCUUCGAGCAAUCAAUCCCUAAUAAUAAUAAUAAUAAUAAAAAGCCUAUGUGAGCCUCUCCUAAAUUACAAGAAGAGCAAAAAUGAUGGGUAAAGGAUUAGUUUACUUUGUCUAAGAUGAAUUUGAUUUAAGGGUAUAGCUCACUCAACUUAGCUUCAUGGGAUGGCAAUUUGAAUUUUGAAAGCUACAAGUUGAAAAUAGCAAAAUAUAACAAACAUCUAAGGCCUUUUGAAAAGCUAAAAGGGGUUGUACAAGGGAGAUUGUUGAUGAUACUAAAUAGUUUUAACAUCAUUUUCUAUAGAGAGGUAGAAAGGUAAAUGGGUCUUCAAUUUCCUUUCAAGAGAAUUGUCUUAUUCAACAAUCAAACUUUCUUGGAAGUAAGUUUUUCUAUGACUAGGAACUAGCAAUGUUCACUUCCACGUUGGGGAAGACAACAUUGAACACAUGAUGGAGAUGAAGAAAUUGAGCUAGAUUUAAAUUGCCUACCAAGGUGAGAUAGUAUAGAGAUUUGAUGGAAACCACUCAAUGAGCACAUGGAUACAAGGGUUUGAUGUUGAAUCGGAAAAACUCGUUUAACUCGAUCAAAUUCCUUAGAUGCCUUAAUUGUCCUAUUUAUUUUCUUUGAUGGCAGACAACGAGUCUAAUACAUCUCUAUAAUUCACAUGGGUGGGUGACCAAUGCUGCAACAAUGCCUCUACCUCUAUAUUUGCUCUUUUUUUCUUUUUGUUUGAAAUUUUGGAUUUGUAAAAGUGAGCAAUUAGGAAUGGAUUUAGCAAAUUUUGACAUGUAUUCCUUGAAAAUGAAUCCCAAUGAUGAAUGACACCUAUAGGGACAUAUAUUAUCUUUUCAUUUGAAUCCUCACAAUUUAUAUAUCUCUCUUCCAAUCACUAUUCAACAAAGGAUAAAAAACGUAAGCAAAAAUAAAUACAACAACAAUCUCUCAACAAUCUAUCAAUGAAAAUCACAUACAAAUGCUUCAACACUUCCCAAGAUUAAUUCAUAAGACUAAUUAUCUCCCAAAUACAUUUCCAGUUACUACUUGAUAUCAUUAAUAAUAUGAACAUAAAAAUUAUUCAAGAAUAUACAAAAGGUAAUCAUACUAAUUUCAGCUCAUAUUUCAUUCUUUCAACAAACAUUCUCAAGUAAUAGAGGAUAACAAAAAUUGGACAUAAAUCAAAGAGUAGAAUUAAAGCAACAAAGACAAUGGUAACAUAUUUUACGUGAAAAUCUCCUAAGAGAUAAAAAAAACCAUGGGCCUACCAAUAAUAAAAAAUUCCACUAUGAAGAACAACCAAUGUGUACAAGGAUUUACCUAGAUUUAAGUCCACUAAUCUUUCAUGGAGUACUUGACCAACAUCUUCUUGCUUAGAAUUUUGAAUUUCUUCAUUCCCUUAUCUUAGAUCCUAUAGGUGCAUGCAAAACUACCCUAGGCCUCUAGAUCCUAUGCAACGGAAACAAAAAACAUAUUUUUACUAUUCUAAGAUCAAGAGAAAAGUCGUUAGAUGACUUUACCUUUGAUUUGGAUGUUCGUAAAUCAAUUUCACUCGAUGAAAAUGAAGAACAAUGAAUCUAGAAGUCUCGUACACCCAAGAUCUUCUGCUUGAUGACUUGAACCAUGAUCUUGGCACACCAAAGUAUGGGCUUUGGAAGAGAGAAUCACUUGACUCUCACUAUCUCUUUCUUUCUCUGGAGGUGGAAGACAAAGUCUCUCUCAAGAUUAUGGAAACCCUAGCCCCUAUAGGGCUAUUUAUAUGGUUCCCUUACUAGGCUUAAGUGACUUAAGCCCACCAAGGCUUGGGUCACUUAAUCUAGCCCAAAAUGGGUUUUAAUUGAUUAAUUAACCAUACAAGGCCAUCUAAUUAAUCAAUUAGCCAAAUCUAGAGAACUUGUUCACCAUCUCUUAUGCAACUUUACGUAAUUAUCAAAACACCCUUAUACACAAUAAUGAACCAAGAGCUAGUUCAACUAUCAUAAAUCGUGUCAUCAUGGUAAAUGAGCUUAGAACGGGGGCCACUAAGACCUAAUAAGUACUAGCUCCCUUAUAAUCCAAUUCUAAAGUUGAUUCAACAUUCCACUAAAGAGAAUCAAUUGCACUCUAGUAUCCUAUGUAAAUAACAAUGAGACAAAGCUUGAAAUCUGUGACCUACUAUCCAUGGCAUGCAGACUCCCCAUGAAUAGGUGUCCAUAAUCUAACAAGGUAGUACUAUCACUUAUCAAUAUUACAUCUUCAAUCCUUGAGUUACAAAUCUCACUUAUUAUGUGAUCAACUGACAUACUCUAGAUUCAAAGAGCACAUGGCAAAUUCCACUAAAGGAAUUAUUAUGGCCACAGAUUUCAUGAUCAUAUGUCCUUUGGAUCACCCAAAGAGACACACUAUCUCAAUCCAUGAGAUAUCAUGGUGCCUCUAUUGAGAAUACCUAUUGCCACCAACCUCCAUCAACAGUGACCCAAUCCAUAGGGAUAUAUGACUACUUUACGGUCUUACCCAUAGGUUAAAGCUUUUUGUUAACUUUGGUACAAGCUCAAUAUUCUCUCAAGGUUGAGAGCCUAUGCAGUAUGCUUGGUGAAUCAUGACAAUUGAUAGCCUUGAGUUAUGAUUCAUAACCUUGUGUCAUGAUUCAUCGUAAGUUCUGUCUAAUGCACAUCACAUGCACUAGUACACUCACCAUGGGAAAACCAUCUUGACAAUCAAAACAAGUCAUCCUUCCAACUAGGAUGUAGUGCAUUACAGUCUUAGAUGGAUAACCUAAAUCCAUGAACUGACUGUGGACAACUCAUCACUCUACAAGGAACCCAUAACUUGGAUCUCUUGUGCAACUCCUAAUAUACCCAAGUCAUGUACAAUGUAAGUGAUAUGGGGUAUAUAUGUUCAAAUAACCAAUUAAUACAAAUGAGAUAUGUAAGGGAAACCAAGAAAUAUAAAUAAAUAAAUUUAUAAAUGAAUCUCAAUCUAUUACAUCAUGUCAUGCUUUCUAGGGCUCAAUCCUAACAAACUCCCACUAGCCCUAAAGCAUUCUAGGAACACAUUUGACACCUAAGCUAUCCCUAUGACGAUCAAAGACUCUAAUAAAUAAAGUCUUUGUAAAGGGAUUCGUCAAGUUCUCUGUAGAAGCGAUCUUCUCUAUAGCCAUAUCUCAUCUCAUUACUAUCUCACGUAUCAAGUGAUACUUCCUCUCAAUGUGCUUACCCUUUCGAUGGUUUAUUGGUUCUUUAGAUUGUGCCACCGCCCCCACUAUUGUCACAAAAUAGUACCAGGGGCGGUAUAGCCAAGGGCACUACCCCAAGUCCCAAUAAGAACUUCUAAAGCCAAACAACUUCUUUUGUUGUUUCAAAAACAGCAACAUACUCGGCUUUCAUAUUGGAGUUAGCAAUGCAAGAUUGUUUUACACUUAUUCAACUAACAACCCCACUACUUAGAGUAAACACAAAAUCCGAAGUAUACUUGAGAUAGUCUUUAUCAUAUUGAAAGUCCGAGUUCGUAUACCUAAGAGGUAACAACUCAUCGCAAUGAUACACCAACAUAUAAUCCCUUGUUCUUCGAACAUACUUGAGUAUAUGCUUGAUUGUCGUCCAAUGCUCCAUGCCUGGAUUGGACUGAUAUCUACUCACUAUCCCUAUAGCAAAGCGAAUAUAUGGUUUAGUAUAUUACAUCUCACACAGAAGGUUACCCACCGCAGAAGCAUAGGGUAUUACCUUCAUGUGAUCUUUCUCCUCAGUUGUCUUAGGACACUGAUCCUAAGAAAGAAGCAUUCCAUGCUUAAAGAGUAGCAGACCUUUCUUAGAGUCUUGUAUCACAUACUUGACCAAAAGCUUAUCAAUGUAGGUGACCUAAUACAACACAAUCUUUCUAUUCUUGUGAUCCCAAAAUAUCCUUAUCCCAAGAAUAUAUUGUGCCUCACCCAGACCUUUCCAUUUGAAACUGAGUAGAUAACCAGAUCUUGACUAGCUAAAAUAACCCUACAUCAUUCCCAAUGAGUAAAAUGCCACCAACAUACAAGACCAAAAACACCAUCAUGUUUCCCUACGUCUUCUUGUAUACACAAGACUCAUCCUCAUUUUGAUCAAAAUCAAGAGUUUGAUAGCCUGAUCAAAAAGCCUAUUCCAUGAGCGAGAUGUUUGCUUUAAUCUAUAAAUGGAUUUAUGUAACUAGCAUACAAGGUGCUCUUGGCCCUUUUCUAUGAAUCUGUUUGGUUGCAUCAUAUAGAUGUUCUCUUCAAGAUCACCAUUCAAGAACAUUGUCUUGAUAUUCAUUUUCCAUAUCUCAUAAUCGAGAUGUGCUGCAAUGGACAAGAGUAUUCUAAUGGGCUUGAGCAUGGCUACUGGUACAUUUUCUCAUAGUCAAAACCAGGUUUUUUACUAUAACCCUUUGCUACCAGCCUAGCCUUAUACUUCUCAACUUUUCCAUCUACCAUUCUUUUCCUCUUAUAAACCCAUUUACACCCUAUGGGUUUUGUCCCUUCAGACACUUCUUCAAGAUCCCAAACUCCAUUAGAAUACAUAAAUUCUAACUCUGUCUCCAUAGCUCCUUGCCAAAUAAUAACAUCAUCAUUGUUCAUUGCUUCAUUGUAAUUUAUGGGAUCGGUCUUAUGUUUCUCUAGAAUUGCCUUGAAAGACUCUCCUAAAUACAUGAACCUAUCUAGUUGCAUAACAAUUCUCCCAUUACGACGAGGCAUUGAUGUACUAGAACUAACUAAAAUGGUAGGUGUAGGAAUCUCUGGACCCAUAGUCCCCUAUGCUAAUGUGGGAGUGUCUUCAAGUGCUUUCCAAUCUAUAUCACAUCUUGUCCUAUUACUCAUUAUAUAGUCCUCUUCCAAAAAUUAGACAUUUGUACUAAAAAAUACCUUUGCGGUCGACUUGACUAUAAAAGUAAUGUCCUCUUGUUCCUUUUAAAUAGCCUUCAAACUGACAUACCUCAAACCUUUGGUUUCAACAUGUGUACUGGACACCCCCAAAAGUGAAUGUGUUGCAAAUUGGGUUUACGACCUUUCCACAUCUCUCUAGGAAUUAAAGGUACCGACUUAGAAGACACUAGGUUGAGAAUGUGUGUUGUAGUUUCCAAGGAAUAUCCCUAAAAUGCUAGAAGAAGUGAUGAGAAACUCAUAAUAGAUUUCACCAUGUCCAUCAACGUUCGAUUUCUUAUUUCUGCUACUCCAUUUUGUUGUGGAGUUCUAAGUGCACUCAACUGGGAUAUAAUCUUGUGCUCCGUGAGGAAAAAAUUGAACUGAGUAGACAUGUACUCUCCGCCUUGAUAAGAUCGAAGUGCCUUGAUACAUUUAACCAAUUGGUUUUCUGAGUCCACCUUAAAUUCAAUGAGUUUGUCAAAGGCAUCGGACUUCCUAUGCAUCAAGUAAACAUAUCCGAACCUAGAGUAAUCAUUUGUAAGCAUGAUGAAGUACUCAUAUCCUCCUCGUGCAUGGACAUUAAAAGAUCCCCACACGUUAAAAUGCACAAACUCUAAACACUCCUUGACUCUAUAUCCUUUAGCAGUAAAGGGUCUUUAGGUUAAUUUUACUUUUUAUAUAGGAUUUGUAGACUGGAAGAUCCUUUGGAAUUAAAGGAGGUAAAAUUCCCCACUUAACCAGUCUUUGGAUCCUGUUUAGAUUAAUAUGACCUAGGCAUAAGUGCCAAAGUUGUGUUGGAUUAGUGUUAGAUUCCUUUCUUUUAUGUGAGAUAUGACAAUUUUCAUUACUUGGCAAAAUAGAUAAUGGAGAACACGAUAAAGACUAUCUAUCAAUGAUCCUGAGCAUAUAAACGAAUUAUUCAACUUAAUAAAAACCCAUUUUUUAUUUUUUAUUUUAAAAGAAUAAUUCAGCUUACAAAGACUAGAAAUCAAAAUCAAAUUCUUCCUAGACUCAAAAAUAUAAAGACAAUCUUUUAAUGCUAAGAAGACUAUUAUUAGAAAAAAUAAGGGUAACAUCUCCCACUACCUCCAUAACAAAUCUUGCUUCAGAAAUUAAUGUCAAGUACAUAUCCCCAUCAUUCAACAUUGUCCUUACCUAAAACCCCUGUAAUGAAUUACAAACAUGAUCAAUGGCUUUGGAAUAUAUACACUAAGAAUUAGUGCAAUCCAGCACUUAAGAAUUUUGUUCUAAAUUGCCAACCUAGCUAACACUCAUAAUCUUCCUUUUUGUCAAUUUUGGGGAAAAACCCUUUACAACACGAAUGAGUGCAAGCAAGCAAGCCCUAUCUACUCUCAUAUAAGGCCACUCGUUUACCUACUCAACCUCACAACCUAGGUACCACAAAACUUGCAUUUAAAAUUCACAAACAAUUAGUAACACCUACAUGAAACAAUUGAAUAUACACAAAACAAGUAUCUCAUAUCAACAUGUAUAUCUAAAAAUUCCAAAAGAAAUCUCACACGUAUAUGCAAUCCAAAAUAGACAAGAAUCAUCAAUAAUACCCCCAACUUGAUAUAAAUCCAAAAUAAACAAGUAUCUCAUAUCAAAAAAAAAGAAAAAAAAAUACAAUAAUCAUCAAUAAUAUCCACAACCUCAAUCUAUAAUGUAUCUCCCACUUUUUGUCCUAGAAGAAGAUAAAAAGUAGAAAUAGUCACCUGUAAGCAAGUAAAUAAGAUAGAAAAGUGGCAAAAAAAUGUCAAGUGUUCAUAAAUGGAAAUAAAGCAAAACUAAAUUAUCUAAAAUAUAUAUAUGUAUAUAAACUAGGGAAGAUGUUGAUGGAUGAAAUCCUCAAGAGCUUGGAGUUGAUCUAUGUAGCAAAACGGUUGUCCAUCAAUCACUAAGAAGCUUUUUUCCAUAUGCUGAUGAAGUUGUGAAAGCUGCCCAGAGAAAAAGGUGGAUUGUGCAAAAAUAAAAAAAAAUAAAAAAUUGUAUCUAAAGUAUCAAAUUUAACAAUCAAAUGAUCCAAGACACCAAAUCCUACAACUAAAGUGGUGUCAUCCUCACCAAUUGGGUCAUUUUCUCUUGGAUGACACAUUUUCUUCCUAGGACAAAUUGCACCCUUAGUUUGUCCAUUACUACGAUUCCCGAAAAAAAGUGUUAAUGGGACCCAUUGGUUUAAGAAAAUAUACAUUUAAAAGAAAACCCCAAAAUACAUUUGACAAAUUUAAGUGAUCAAAAUUCCAUAAUGAAGGACUACUUUCUUAGACAUUGAAAGUUCUUCCCCAAAGAUCGUUUCAUCUAUAAUGCAAGUGACAAGGUUAAGGGGUUUCUCGUGAAGAAUUCAAGGUAGGAGGAUUCUCCCCCAAAGAUCAUUUCAUCUAUAAUGCAAGUGACAAGGUUAAAGGGUUCCCUAUGAAGAAUUCGGGGUAGGAGGAUGUACCCUAUAUUUGCUUGAUGAGAAGAAUGAUAAAUUGAAUAUGACAAAAAUGUUGCCAAAAUCUAAGUUGGUUGAGAAAUAUUACUAGUAUGAAGUACAGUACCUAACGAAUCAUGCACCUCACCUCACAAAUCAAUUGAAACCUUGUCUAACUUUGUAGUGACUUCCAGAUCACUCAUAGAGGGUACAUCAACCAAUGGAAUGCCUAACACUUUUUAGCUACCACCUCUAGAUUGACCUCAACCAUUGUUCCAAAAAAACUUAAUAUAAAGUAAGAUUCACCUAGAUCAUGUUCAAUCAUAUUUGAAUAGAAUAGACAGACAAUCAGAGCACAACAACCCUAGUGAAAUAUGCUAGAAGAAUCCAAUCAAGUUUUAUUAACAAUGCUAGAACUAAUUUGUAGUAUCCUACUUUCAUGUAAUCUAUAAGGUUCAACAAACAAUUAAUAUUUCAAGAUCAAGGGUACUACAGUACUAUUUGUAGUAGUGAUCUUUAUAUAUCGUAUUAAUAAUCGAAAUAUGGUCAAAAGAAAAAAAAUCUCCAUUUGACAGGGUUUUUUCCUAUAUUAAGUCAUGAAUGAAAUGAUGUUUGAUGUCUAUGUGUUUUGUUCUAUAAUGAAGAAUAACAUUCUUAAAGAUGUUAUCGCACUAGUAUUCUCACAAAACACAACCAUGGUUCCUUGAUCUAUUCCAUAAUCUCUCAACAUUUGCUUGAUCCAUAGAAGUUAAGUACAACAACUAUUAGUGACAACAUAUUCUACUUCAACUAUAGAGAGUGAAACAGAGUUUUGUUUUUUGCUCAUCCAAGUAACCAAACAAUUUCCAAUAUAAAAGAAACCACCAUAAGUGUUUUUCCAAUCAUCAACAUUUCUAGCCCAAUCAACAUCAAUAUAGCAUGUUACAUCAAAAUGAGUGUCAGAAGGAUACCAAAGGCCUAACUUUAAAGUACCAGCAAUAUACCUAAUGAUGUGCUUAAGAACUAUGAGAUGGGAUUCCUUAAGACACGUUUGAUACCUAGUACAAGCUCCAAUGCUAAAUGUUAUGUUUGGUUUACUAGUUGUGAGGUACAAGAGGCUACCAAUCAUGCUCCUAUACAAUUUUUCCUCUACCCCUUUUCCAGAAUCAGCCUUACUUUAUUUUAUGUUGGUAGACAUUGGUGUCUUAUAGAGUUUUUUCGACUCAAGAUGGAACUUCUUGACAAGUUCCCUUGCAUACUAGGAUUGGGACAAGAAAAUCCUAUCCUUGAGUUGUUUCACUUGGAAGCCAAGGAAGUACAUUAAUUUCCCUACCAUGCUCAUUUCAAACUCACUUUUAAUCUCUUUGGCAAAACUUAAAGCACACUUACUAGAGGUAGACCCAAAAACCGUCAUCUACAUAAAUUUGUGCCACUAAGAACACUCUACUAUUUCUUCUAAUGAACAGUGUUCAGUCUGCUCCCCCUGUCAAGAAUCCUUUCUUAAGAAAAUAGGAUGUGAGUUUUUCAUGCCAAGCUCUAGGAGCUUAUUUCAAGCCAUAGAGAGUUUUUUUAAGACUAUAGACAUGGUGAGGGUACUUUGGGUCUUGAAAACAUUUGGGUUAAUCCACAUACGCUUCUUCAUUGAGGCUCCCAUUGAGAAAUAUACUAUUGACAUCCAUUUGAAACAAUUUAAAUUUUCACACACAAGCUAUAACCAAGAGUAUUCAUAUGCAUUCAAGUCUUGCAAUCGAAGCAAAUUUUUCAUCAAUAUCAAUUCCUUCAAUUUGCUUGAACCUUUGAGCAACCAACCUUGCUUUAUUUGUCAUAAUCACUCCAUUUUCAUCUAUCUUAUUUUUGAAAAUCCAUUUUGUUCCAGUGACAUUCAUAUCUUUUAGUCUAGGCACUAAAAACCAAACUUCAUUUUUAGAAAGUUGAUUUAAUGCCUCAUGAGGGGCCUCUACCUAAACAUCAUCAUUCAAGGCUACCUCAACAUUUUUUGGUUCAAUUUGAGAGGUAUAACAAACAUAACUUAUCUCAUUUAACUUGGAUUGUCUCCUUGUUACCAUGCUUUCCUCAUAAUCUCCAAUCAUAUUAUUCAAUGGAUGGUUCUUUAGCACCCUUGACCUAUUUUUCUUGGAUGGUUCAAUUCUCCCCUUAUCAACUUUCUCUCCUUGCUAUUUUCUCUUUUCUUCCUCUUCACUUAACCAUUUAUUUUCAGAUUUUUUUUUCAAUUAGAUAGAAAUCUUUUGAGACUUCAAUUCUAUCAUCAUCAAACUUUCUUAACUUUGAUCCUUGAUCAUCCACAAUCAUAUUGAAUAAUUCUACUAUACAUUUUGAAUUCAAAAUGUAUACAUUAUAUGCCCUACUUUUAGAAGAAUAUCCUAGAAAUAUCUUUUCAUCACUCUUGGUACUCAAAUUUAUUAAGAUUUUCAUGAUUUUUUAAGACAUAGCAUCUACUUCCAAACACCCUAAAGUACUACACACUAGGCUUCUUUCAUUUCCAUAGCUCAUAACAAGUCUUCCUAGUAUGAGGACAUAAGUGAAUCCUAUUGGAAGUAUAGCAAGCACUAUUAAUAGGUUCAACCCAAAAGUAUGUAAGGAGUUCAUGGUGAUUUAGCAUUGUUCGGGCCAUUUCUUGGAGGACACUAUUCCUUUUCUCAACUACUCCAUUUUGUUAAGUAAUUUUAGGAAUGGAAAACUCAUGUUUGAUUCCUAAAAAAAUUACAAAAUUUUAGAAAAUCAUAAUUAUCAAAUUCUUUUCUCAUAUCACUCUUAAUUCUUUCAGUUGGAUACCCUUUUUCAUUUUGAAUUUUCAAACUAGCAUCUUUGAAAUUUAUGAAAACCUCACUAUUUUCUCUUAGGAAUGCAACCCAUUCAUGCUUAGAGUAGUCAUCAACCAUUACCAAGUUGUAUUUCUUGUCACCUAAACUCUAAGUUCUCAUUGGUUUUAUGAGAUCCUUGGGUAAGAGUUCUAAGAUUUAGAGGUCAAAAUUUCAUCAACUCUCCUAUGAGUACUCCUAGUUUGUUUUCCCUUUUGAUAAGUACCAUAACUAGGAUUGGAGGGUUUUCCAAGUUUAGGAAUCCCUUUGAUGACUUCAUUGUUAACAACCUUCAUUAAGUCAUGAUAGUUUAAAUGGCCUAAUCUACGAUGUCACAAAUCAACCGA